AUUUUUCUUGUGAAAGAAAAAUGCCACGAUCAUCUUGGUUUACUUCCAUUCCAAGAAAGUAAUUUAGCAAACCAAGAUCCGUCAUCUCGAACUCGUCCUUCAUGUUCUUCUUGAAUGUGUUGAUGAGAUGAGUGCUGCUUCCAGUGAUGAUGAGAUCAUCGACGUAUAAGCUAACAAUCAACACGUCUACACCUUUCUUCUUGAUGUACAAAGCCGCAUCAUUCAUACUUCUUUCAAAACCACUUUGAAUGAAAUAAGAAUCUAUUCUUCCAUACCAUGCUCGUGGGGCUUGUUUAAGACCAUAUAAAGCUUUGUAAAGCCUUAACACCUUUUCUUCUUUGCCUUUUAUCACAAACCCAGGUGGUUGUGUGACAUAAACUUCUUCUUCAAGCUCUCCGUUUAGAAACGCUGACUUCACAUCCAUUUGAUACAGUCUCCACUCCAUUUGAGCCGCAUACGCAAGUAAGGCUCGUAUUGUAUCAUAUCUUGAGACAGGGGCGAAUGUCUCAAGGUAAUUGAUACCAUAUUCUUGAGAAAAACCUCUUGCAACUAGUCUUGAAGAGGAUAACAACACUCAUUCACUUAUAUACAUGUCGUACGGUCGUAACCGUUCGUAACUUGUGGAAACCGACAACUUAAUAACACAACUCAUUAACACACACCCGUUAAUACACAUUCAUACAUAUAUUAAUAUAUGUUAAAUAUGUGACCAAACUCAAUUACCACUAACACUCUCCCUUAAUUGAGUUUCUGUCUAAACCCAAGUUUGCUUCUUGUUGACUUCUGUUCCUUCUCUUCACAACCUUUUCUUCUUCCUCUUGUUGUUGUCUUUCUCUUUGUUGCACAAUAUGACACUCUUUUGUCAAUUGUAUUUGUUUUCUUUUGACAUAAGAGCUCUUGGAAUUUUUCUUUCCCGCAAAUCUUUUCCAUGUCACCUUCAAGUUUACCAUGCCCUUUUUUACGAUUUACUUGAAGUCUCCAUGACCUUUCCUCAUGUCUUCUCCGGGAUCUUUUAUCACGGCUGUUCUUGCAACCUUCUUCCACUCCCUUUCUCUUAGGUGACCUUUCUUCUUAUUCCCUUUUGGUGUCCUCUUGAUCACCAAAUUUGUGAUCCUUUGAUCACCAUCACAUCUCUGUGACUUCUUGUGCGUGAAUCUUCUCCACGUCUUCUUCGAUUGUUUCUACAACAACCCAAUGCUUCCUUUCACUCUUAGGUAAGCAUCUCUCCUUUUUGCUUGGUGUCUUCCUUUGAUCACCAUCACGUCACGUAGACGCCUUGUACGUGAACAUCGUCACGUCUUCUUCGGUGUCUUCUUUUGAUCACCAUAACGUCUCCAUGACGUCUUGUGCGUGAAUCUUCUUCACGUCGUCUUCGGUUUACUCUUCAACCGACUUAUGCUCCAUUUUCCUCCGAGGUAAGCAUCCUCUUGUGCUCCAUUUUUCUCCGAGGUAAGCAUCCUCUUAUGGUGUCCUCUUUUGAUCACCAUCACAUCUCGAUGACGUCUCAUCAGUUCCCUUGAACCUUUUUGCUGAGUAGCCUUGCACUGUUCUCCCAACAGAAGCUUACUCCAUGUUGCAGUGUUCUUCACAACUCAACAACACCUUUUGAUACUAAGCCUUGCCCUGUUUCUUACAACAGGCGGCUUCCCCGUCUUGUUUCACCAAGACCUCUUUGAACAAAGUUUCAGAAUUCUCCUUCCACAACUCCAAAUCCACAUCCGUUUUCUCCAUUGCCUUUAGAGAAGAUUUCCUAUCUUCUUCAUCGCUUUUGGAGCCUUCCUCUUGAAGGUACUUCAUGUGAAUGUGUUUGUGAAGGCUGAUGGUACUCUCUCUUGUUACCACCUCUUCUUGUUCUUCCUUAUUACGUCUUCUUCUUUUCUUUUUCUCUUUUUUUUUUUUCUCGGUUUCUAACCGUAAGAAAUGUUGGCUCUAUCUUUCUCUUCUUCUCGCAACGGAAUUCUUCUUAUCUUUGUUUUACUUGGACAGGCUCCAAGACCAAAUAAGCUCUGAUACCAUGUUGGUAUUUUGAAGAGGAUAAAAAAACAGAGUAAGAGAUAAGACUCUUCUAAAGAAGAAAAGUAAACGAAAAAACUUUUUAUUGAAUCUGAAACUUGUUUGUAUUACACUCUGUUGUAUAUGUAAAAAACAAAGACUCGAUCUAUACUUAUAUGAAACGAAACAUUGUGUUUGUGUAAUAAUAAAAAGACAUGACUCUUUGAUCUAAAGACACAACUGUAAAACAAAACAACUUGUGUCUCUUGAACAAAUAACUAACUUAUGUAAAUGUGAUAUGAUACGAGAUUUGAUUAUCCUUCAACAGGAAUUUAUUUGGAAGAUGAGAAAAUGGCUACGGCUCGGCUUGGAGGAUGAUAUGAGCCGAAGCAUCAGCCACGUGGAUAAUUACUUAUCAGAGAUCAUUAAUACACGUAAGCUCGAAUUAGUGAGUCAACAACAAGAUGGAUCCCGCCACGACGAUCUAUUGUCACGGUUCAUGAAGAAAAAAGAGUCCUACUCGGAUAAAUAUCUUAAAUACGUGGCGUUAAAUUUCAUCCUAGCUGGACGUGACACGUCAUCGGUAGCUAUGAGUUGGUUCUUCUGGUUGGUCAGUCUUAACCCUCGAGUCGAAGAAAAAAUCAUAACCGAGAUCUGCACCGUUCUGAUCAAGACACGUGGCACCAAUGUGACGAAGUGGACCGAUGAGCCAUUAACUUUCGACGAAAUUGACCAGUUGGUAUACUUGAAAGCGGCAUUGUCGGAAACAUUGAGGCUAUAUCCAUCGGUGCCGGAAGAUUCAAAAUUCGUUGUUGCCAACGAUGUUUUACCGGACGGAACAUUUGUUCCAUCCGGAUCAAACGUUACAUAUUCGAUAUAUUCGGUUGGGCGUAUGAAAUUCAUUUGGGGUGAAGAUUGUCUCGAGUUUAAACCGGAAAGAUGGUUAGAGGAAAACCGGGACGAGAUAUGUAACCAAUACAAAUUCGUAGCAUUCAAUGCCGGUCCACGGAUUUGUCUAGGCAAAGACUUAGCUUACUUGCAGAUGAAAUCAAUUACUGCUUCGAUUUUGCUCCGGCAUCGGCUGACGGUGGCUCCGGGACAUCGAGUGGAGCAGAAGAUGUCCUUGACGUUGUUCAUGAAGUUUGGUCUUAAAAUGGAUGUGCAUAGAAGGGAUUUGACGUUGCCGGUGGAGAAAGUGGUGAAUGAGAUGAGGAAUUACGAGAGUUGUGGCAAAAGUGAGAUUAUUGGGACUAAUGAUGGUAAUUAUGGUGAAGUUAAAUUGGUCGUCGGUUUGGCAUAAGCAAUGUGGACGAUGGUAAUUUAGUAAUUGUGUUGUUGUUUAUUAGUUUAUACUUUAUAUUGCGAAUAAAAUGGUCUUAUAACCUUUUUUAUUUAAAAUAUUUUUCACCUAGACGUUGCCAAUUCAAUUAAAUUAAUGAAAUUACACUAAAAAUAUCAAAACCAAACCCGGAUAGAACUUUAUGAUCUUACUCCCAACACUUAAAAAACAAAUGAUUUGGGGAAAUACUAAAUAAAUCAAGGGUCACGGUUAGGCGUAUGUACUUAAGUCGGAAAAUUAAACAUUUGUUAAUUGCAGAGUCUCUAUGAAGCUUUAUGUUAUAAUAUAUACUUAUAAUUGUAUGGUUUCUGCAUACUCAAGAGUUGCAUGAUUUCACACUUGCUUUGAAAACAAAUAUACUUCUGCGAGGAAAACAUUAGCAUAAUACAUGUGUUCAUACUAAUAUAUAAACCACAAUAAAUGAGUAUCGGCCUUGUCAUUAUCAUUAUUAUUUAUCAUUGUCAAUGUCAUUAUACUUGUUAAUUCUUAUAGUAUAGUAUUAGUUAUGUCCCCUGGUUCGAGGUCAAACUGAAAGAAAAGGCAAAGGUCAACGGUGCGAAGCAAUGAACCACCGAAUUUAAAGGUUCUAAUUUAACAUGCUCGUCCAAACACGUGAAGAUGACAUUGACAUGCAAUGAUAUACAUUCAAACAUUACUUAAAACAUGAUUACGGACCUUAAAACAUGAUUACGGACCUUCCGCAAACUUUACUUAAAACAGACAUAAACUAGAUCGAUGUCCCAAUUCUUUAUACAUUGAUCGUUUUACGAAUAGAUUAUGUAAAUUAAAUGGCUAAAACAUCCAAUUUUAAUGUCGUCAAUGCGUCACAAUUCUUAUUCAAAAUCUUUCAAAAUAAGAUAUUCUAUAAUCUAGUUAUUUUAUUUCCUUAAUAUCAAAAUUCUAACGGCCAAUGAUUUAUCAUUGAUUAAAAAACUAUGUGUAUUUAUUCCAUUACGCUUUUUUUAAAUUUUUUUUUUUUUUUUGUAUGAAUGUAAAAUUGUAAUCGUUAAAUUUUUCCUUUACGCAAUUAUGUCUACGAAUACGGAAUACGAACUGUAAGCAUUUAAAAUAUAAUAUUAAAUGGAUGCGAUAUAAAAACAAAGUAUAAUUAUAGAAUAUAUGUAACAGUUAAAUAUUUUAUUUAGGUCAGGACCAAAUAUAUUUGAAACUAUAUUUAUUCGAACAGAAUCAUAUCUCCAAAAAAAUACUUUGAUAUUGUGUUCACCUAAUAUAAUCUUCAUAAAUCUCUUGGGGCAUAAACUAAUAUUUGUAUAAUACGUGUUUAUUAUACACGUACCUUAUUUUUUAAUAAAAAUAAAUCAUGGGAUUUUAUACAUUAUGGUCUUUGUGCUUUACACUGAUAAAAUCAUAACAACGCGUCUCACAAAAGCCUAACGUGACAUCAUUAUCUCCUAUCGGACCGUUAAGAUCGAUUAGCUGACGUGUUAGAACACAUCAUUGUCCUCUUGUCACAUACUUUUUUUUUUUUUUUUUUUUAAUAUAAUUUUCACUAGGCACCCAAUGAUUUGGAAGAAUUUUCAUAUUAUAAUCUUCCCAUAUAAAUUGGGCAGAAUAUCAUUACAAAAGUACCAAGUCAGCAACUAAUUACUUGAGCAUAAAUAAAAAUUUGAAUAGUAGUAAGGUUUUUCUUUUGGUUUAGAUCAAUCAGGAAAAAUAGAAACAGAAUACUAGUAUUCGUUAACUUGUGCUUGUCCCAUAAAUCAAGAUUUUUUUCUCCUCAAGUUUUUCUUCUUGAUCAAUUAUGCAAUUAAAAAAAAAAAAGAUACUUUUGUUUAUGUUCGAAUCAAUCCAAGUAUGGUAUUUUUCCACUCAAACACCCAAUGAAUUGAAAGUAUUUCAUUUUCUUCCCAUAUUUAAGAAUAUUACUAUAAAGUACCAAAUGCAACAAAAUUAGCAUAGAAUAGAUCAAGCAAAUAAUUCUCAAAAUGUUACUAAGCUUUUUUCGUUUUAGAUCAACCAGAGACGACAACUAAGAAACAAAAAAAUAAUAAAAGAUUAGCUUAAUUAGUCCAGUGAUCAAGACUCAAAUUUCAAAAGUUUUUUCAAUUAUGGUAAACAAAAUAUAUAUAAACAAAUCAGAACAAAAUCGGAGCUCUGUCUUUUCAUUAUUAUAUUUUUCAAGUUGUGUCUUUUUCAAGAAAUAAAAUAAAAUUAAUCAAAAAAAUUAAUUAAGGGAUGAUGUUUUUUAAUUAUCGGUUAUAAUCCUAAGUAAUUUAGUUACUAGUAGUAGAAAGAAGAUUAACGCACCAAGAAGAAAUCUGAACAAGUGAAUGCUUUCUUCAAACGCGCUCUCUCUCUCUCUCUCUCUCUCUCUUUCUCUCUCUCCGGUUCUUAUUCUCUCUUUCUAUCUCUACCAAAUUUCUCAGAACCUCUUCGUCUUCUUCGUUAUCUCUUCCUCUGUGUCACUAACUCACUUCACUGUUAGUGAAAGAAGCUCUUAACAAGUCUUUAUACUUUACCAUAUUCACACUUGUAAGCAACGGUUUUAGGGAUCUGAAACGCUUUACUGUUUCUGCUUUGGAUUCUUCGAUUGCUUCUGAGCUUUCGAUUUGAUUCCAUUUCAAGCUGCUGAAUCUGGUAAUUUUUCCAUGAAAUUAGGUCUCGAUUACUAUCAAUUUCUCCAUGAAAUUGCAAAACUUGCUUCGGGUGGUGUUUGUUGUCUGUGUUAAUCCUCCCAAUUUUGUGUGUGUAGAUUUGAGCAAUUGGUUCUUUCUACUUAGGGUUUUCGUUUUUUGUUGUUUCUGGAAUUUGUAUGUGUAGAUCUGUUUGUGAGUUGGGAAUUUUAAGUUUACUGUUUGGAAAUGGAUCUUCUGUAGCUUGAGUUGAAAAUGAAUCACAUUGAUUUUUGAAACUAGCUCAAACUAAUUUGGAGAUGAUACUCUUUUGAUAUCAUCACUCAAGAUGCUCUCUUGGGUGUUCCAUCAUUUUAGAAUUUGCUGGAAAAAAAUUGGGCUUUUGUUCUUGUUAGAAUUAUGGGUUUUGGUGAAUUCUCUAUCUGUUUGUGUCUUCAAUUUUACACGUAAUCAUAGUUGUUGUAUUUUGUAAACCCUAACGCUGGGUUUUGUUGUUGUAAUCAGAUCUUUCAGCUGCUUCUGUGUAUUGUGGUCAAACACCAAUGGAAUAAAAAAAAAUGGUGUUUAUAUUGGGACUUUUCUUUGUUUGUUGACCUAUGUUGGGUCAACCAAGUAUGAUCUCUCAAGUGGUCAAAAAGAUAGUUACUUUGUAGUUGAAUAAGAUCUUUGAAAGAGUGAUAGUGUGAGUGUGCCUCUUGGGUUGUGAGGAAGAAGAUCAUGCCUUGGUGGAGUAAAUCCAAAGAUGAAAAAAAGAAAACUAAUAAGGAGAGUAUCAUUGAUGCCUUUAACCGGAAAUUGGGAUUUGCAUCUGAGGAUAGGUCUAGUGGUCGGUCGAGAAAAUCAAGAAGACGACGUGAUGAAAUUGUGUCAGAAAGAGGAGCUAUAUCUCGAUUACCAUCAAGAUCUCCCUCUCCUUCUACUCGGGUUUCACGCUGUCAGAGUUUUGCAGAAAGAUCUCCUGCUGUACCUCUUCCUCGUCCUAUUGUCCGUCCUCCUGUAACCAGUACUGAUUCGGGAAUGAAUGGAUCACAGAGACCAGGUUUAGAUGCUAAUUUGAAGCCAUCAUGGUUGCCACUUCCAAAGCCCCAUGGUGCUCCAAGCAUACCUGAUAAUACCGGUGCUGAGGCUGAUUUUGCCACUGCUUCUGUGUCUAGUGGAAGUUCUGUGGGUGACAAUCCAUCUGAUUCUCUUCUCAGUCCAUUGGCUUCUGAUUGUGAAAAUGGGAACCGAACAGCAGUAAACAUUUCUUCAAGGUGAGUUUGAAUUGUGAUUGUUAUUGUUGUGUAUUGUGCUCUCUCUCUCUUUACUCUCUAUUUCUAAACAUGUUAUAUCCUACUCUUAUGUAUAGGGAUCAGCCAAUGCAUAGUAAUAAAAACUCAGCUGAGAUGUUCAAGCCAGUCCCAAAUAAAAAUAGGAUUCUAUCGGCAUCUCCUAGGCGAAGACCUCUGGGAACUCAUGUGAAAAAUUUACAAAUCCCGCAACGAGAUUUAGUGCUAUGCAGUGCUCCAGAUAGUUUGAUGUCUAGUCCUUCCAGGAGUCCAAUGAGAUCCUUUGUUCCAGAUCAAGUCUCGAACCAUGGGUUGUUGAUUAGUAAACCAUAUUCAGAUGUUUCCUUGCUUGGAUCUGGACAGUGCUCAAGCCCUGGUUCAGGUUACAACUCAGGUAACAAUUCCAUUGGUGGAGAUAUGGCUACCCAGCUGUUUUGGCCUCAGAGCAGGUGUAGCCCUGAAUGUUCCCCUGUGCCUAGUCCAAGAAUGACAAGCCCUGGUCCUAGCUCUAGAAUACAGAGUGGUGCUGUUACACCUCUUCAUCCUCGAGCUGGAGGGUCAACUACUGGGUCUCCUACUAGAAGACUUGAUGAUAACAGACAGCAAAGCCACCGUCUGCCUCUCCCGCCAUUAUUAAUCUCUAAUACUUGUCCGUUUUCCCCCACAUAUUCAGCAGCAACAUCUCCGUCUGUCCCCCGAAGUCCAGCAAGGGCAGAGGCUACCGUAAGCCCUGGAUCGCGAUGGAAAAAAGGGAGAUUGCUGGGGAUGGGCAGUUUUGGACAUGUGUAUCUUGGCUUUAACAGGUUCGUAACUAAACAAGUCUGAUUUUAGUUCAAAGGAUGCUCUCGUUGUCUCGGAUUUUAUCUUGGCUAUGGGAAGAAUAUCUCUGCCAAAAUCUAUUUCAUACUGGUAGAACUUAUUAUUCCAUAUGAUGGUUACGUUUCUUGGUGCAAAUCUCAAUUUUCAUGGUUAUAAUAAACUGAUUUGUACUCUUCCCAAAAAUAUUGAAUAGGAGAACUCAUAUGUUAUAUUUCUAUGUCACCCCGGGUUUGAUCGGUUUUGUUUUCUUCCUCAGCGAAAGUGGUGAGAUGUGUGCCAUGAAAGAGGUUACUCUAUGCUCAGAUGAUCCUAAGUCAAGGGAGAGUGCACAACAAUUGGGGCAAGUGAGUUACACAUCAUCAUCUGUCCAGAACAAUGGAAACUGCUCUUUGGUGCUUUUAGUCUUUGAAUUUUCUAAGCUUUCAGCUUCUUUUCAAUGAUUGACUCUCACAGGAAAUUUCUGUUCUAAGCCGUUUACGACACCAAAAUAUAGUGCAGUAUUAUGGCUCUGAAACCGUAAGUUAUACAGAUAUUUCUUGGACAUUUCUAUUCUCUGAUACUAUCUACUGUUUCAGCUGAACUGAGUCAUGCACAUGACUACGUUCUUUACUUUCCCAUCCCAAUACAGGUAGAUGACAAGCUGUACAUAUAUCUGGAGUAUGUCUCCGGUGGUUCGAUAUAUAAACUUCUUCAAGAGUAUGGACAAUUUGGUGAGAAUGCCAUCCGAAACUACACGCAACAGAUUUUAUCAGGGCUCGCAUAUUUGCACGCCAAAAAUACUGUUCAUAGGUGAGGCAGUUAAUUCUAUCCAUUCUCCUGAUUCCUCGUUUUCCUUCAUUAGCUGGAGAAUCAAAUGAAUAUGGAUUUUAAUUUUAUUCAGGGACAUCAAAGGAGCAAAUAUAUUGGUGGAUCCCCAUGGACGAGUAAAAGUGGCUGAUUUUGGGAUGGCAAAACAUGUAUGGAUAUGUUAUCUGCAAUCUUUGUUGUGUUUUAGUCCUGUUUGAAAUUUUCCUUCAAGCAGAAACGGCUCAUCUGAAUAAAUUAUGCUAAGUCUAGCUAGAAAUUUUCAUAAGUCUAAUACAAAUUCAUGAACAAAAUGCAGAUUACUGCUCAAUCUGGUCCUCUAUCAUUCAAGGGGAGCCCAUAUUGGAUGGCACCUGAGGUCAGUAUGCUGCUACAAACUGUCGGUUUCAUGUUGAGAGGCUUAAUGCUAAUGCUUUAUAUCUUGCUUGGAUUUCAGGUGAUAAAGAAUUCAAAUGGCAGUAACCUUGCGGUUGACAUAUGGAGUCUUGGAUGUACCGUUUUAGAAAUGGCUACAACAAAACCUCCAUGGAGCCAGUAUGAGGGGGUUAGUAAAUCAUAUAAGUACUCUGAUAAACAUGAGAUUUAAUGAUGCGACUCCUCCAUCCUUAUGUAUUUGAGUUCUUUAUAGGUUCCUGCUAUGUUCAAGAUUGGAAACAGCAAGGAGCUUCCAGAUAUUCCUGAUCAUUUAUCUGAAGAGGGGAAGGAUUUUGUAAGAAAAUGUCUACAAAGAAACCCUUCAAAUCGUCCUACAGCUGCUCAGCUUUUGGAUCACGCUUUUGUAAGAAAUGUGAUACCGAUGGAAAGGCCUAUUGUGUGUGGCGAGCCUGCAGAAACGAUGAAUGUAGCUUCGAGCACCAUGAGAUCACUGGUAUGAAUGCUCAUAUGCCCCAAUUCUAAAUUCUCUAUGCUUCUGAUUGCCUGACAAAUCUGUUUGUUUCAGGACAUUGGACAUGCAAGGAGUCUUCCGUGCUUAGACUCGGAAGAUGCAACCAAUUACCAGCAGAAAGGAUUAAAACCUGGCUCGGGAUUCAGGUACCCAUUAGCCAUUCCGUUUCUACCUUCAUUUUCCAAGCAUCAAAACUUCUUUGUGGCUAAAAUUUCCUCUUUUGGUCACAGUAUAUCCCAAUCUCCUAGGAACAUGUCAUGCCCGAUUUCACCAGUCGGUAGUCCAAUCUUUCACUCGCAUUCACCACAUAUUAGCGGAAGAAGAUCUCCAUCCCCAAUAUCUAGUCCCCAUGCUCUCUCCGGUUCAUCAACACCUUUAACCGGGUGUGGUGGAGCCAUCCCGUUCCAUCACCAAAGACAGACUACAGUUAACUUCUUGCAUGAAGGCAUAGGAUCAAGCAGAAGCCCGGGAAGUGGCGGAAAUUUCUACACCAACAGUUUCUUUCAGGAGCCUAGUAGGCAGCAAGAUCGGUCGCGGAGUAGUCCAAGGACGCCUCCUCAUGUAUUUUGGGACAACAACGGAUCGAUCCAGCCAGGCUAUAAUUGGAACAAGGACAACCAGCCAGUCCUAUCUGAUCAUGUGUCCCAACAGCUCUUAAGUGAGCAUCUGAAACUGAAGUCCCUCGACCUGAGACCCGGUUUUUCAACUCCCGGUUCGACAAACAGAGGACCCUAACCCGUUCGAGUCAAAUGAUUCGACACCAAUGACAGAACCAUAAAACCCAGUGGAAAAAAACAUCAAAACAAAUAGCUGCAGAAACUCCUCCAGGAUCUCGGAAUUGCAACACAGCCUGAAGGGUUCAGGAUCUCGAGGUUUAGGAUCGGGGUUAGGGUUACUGAGCCGUGUCUCAAAACCCUGAACCAUUGGCUAAUAUCAAGAAAUGAGGAUUCGUUUUUUUUCGUCUUUGGAAAAUCUGAAGAGCUCUUUAUCUCGUCUCUCUCUGUUUCUCUUGAGGAUAUACGGGAGUGAGAUAGAGAGAUCAACAAAAAUUGAUUUUGUGUAUAGGAACUUGUGGUGGUAGAACAGAUCAUCACCUAAUUUGUCUAUUUACCUCUUUCUUCUGUCUCUUUGUUUGGUCUGAUUCGUUGCUGAUGAAGGAGAAAAAAAAAGAGGGCAAAGCUUAAAUCUUUUGAAACCUAAACUCUUUGAUGUAAUCUAUCUUUAUUAUAAGAGAAUCUCAAAUUAGAUUAUAAACCCACUCUCUUAUUUGAUUGAUGCUCGUUUCUAGUCAUCAACUGCAAUAAAAAAUUGUCUUGUAAUGGUCUUUGGUCCCAAAGUUCAAACUUGGAAUCAAUAUGACAAUAUCUUUCUAGGGGUUUGAUGUUCUGCUAUGGACUUGGUCUCGUAUAUUGUGUUCUCGUGUCUUACAAAAUUGCGAGUAAUGAACACACCCCUACCAUUCAAAUUCUGCUGUAAUAAAAUCUAGGGUAAUAUACACUAUGCAAGUCUAACAAUUUUUUUUAUCCCGUCGAGUCCAAAUUGAUCACCUAUAAUUUACCAUUGGUAACAUUUAACAAUGAACCAAACAUGAAUAAGAAAAUAUAUAUUAUUAUUUAAAUUACAAAAUCGUCCACACAAUUAUGAGAGCUUAGAAAGUUGUCUACGUUUAUACACAUUUAACACUUUCUUACAAAAGAAACAAAUUAUAUAUAGACAGAGAACGAUCAUGGAUUCUUCUUCAAUAAUGAUGGUGUAAGUAAGUAACAUAAACAACAUAAGAUUAAAAAGGAAUUUGAAGAGAAAAUUAAUCUUACAGCUUACGUUACAUCGGUUGCAACCCCAAAGGCCUUUUUUUUCUCUGUAAAUAUCUCAGUGUUCCAUUUUUUGGUCAGGUCGUCUCAUUUCUCAGAACACGGUUCAAGCCGGACAUGGUGAGGACAAGCCCUUUCUGGUUCUCCUUUUGUCCAUAGAAUCCAAAGAUCGCCUCGUUUUCGAGCCAGCGUUACCAUUGUUCCUGCAGUUCCAUCCCAAGAUUUCUCUCAAUACUCAUUUUAUGGAGAGGGCGAAAGAGAGAGGAGAGAGAGAGAGAUGAGAAGAGAUUUUCCAGCUUACCAAGAGUGAAAGGGACAAUGUAGAGCAAUGCUGGUUGGCCGUGUCCAUCCAUUAGGUUUAAAGCCACGUAAGUAAUUAAAAGACCUGCAAUUUUCAAAUGGGUUUGUCAAUGAUGGAGAAAUAGAAGAUUCUUGGGAUUACGCGGAUUUGUGUGUGAUAUUUUACCUAAUCCGUAGGCAACCAUUGCCCAUAUAAAAUAGCCGGUUCUAAGAGUCUUGUUAGCUAACCAGUCAUAUCUGCAAGAACAAAUGUCGGAAAAGCUUACUACUUGAUGAAAGGAAACUAUAGAUGAUGAUUUAAGAGAGAGAUAGAGUAUGGCUGUUGAACCUGAGAGCAAAUGCGAUUAGCAAACCGGGCAAAAGAAUAUCACCAAAUCCAAUAAUGCUGUAGCCUCCCCACGGAUCAAACAUGCGCGGAAUCUUCAGUAGCAUCGGGAUGCCAUCUUCUCCACUCUUAUCACCACGAGCUACCUGCAAAGAACAAAGAAGCAACAUUGCAUUUUCUUGAGCAUAUGAGAGAUGGGAUAAAGAUUUCUCAAGGAGAUUUGAGUUUGGGCAUUGUUAGAUCCUUUAUGCAAAAUGAUGGAUGGCUGAUUGGUUGGUUACUUACAACAAUCAUUACGCUUUCGUGGAACAACUUCUUCGAGACAAACACCCAGAAGAUAUCGUACAAGAAGGCACAGCUGAGAAGAACUGUACCGACCUGUUACAAGUGAUAUGUGGCUUUAUAAUCUUUCAAAAACUUUUUGAAACUAUACCAUGAAGUAUAAAUGUGUAAGAAAAUACCUUAAGAUUUGGAACAUGAACAAUCUGUAGUACAGUGAUGAUCAAUGCGAUACCCUAGUCAAUAGAACAACAAUAUCAAAUACCAUCUAAGUAAUUGGAAUGUAGUUGUAAAUGAAAUUGUAUGGGGCUGCAAUCCUUACAAGAACAUCUUGGCCAAUCCAAGCAAAGGAGUGAACUCGGUAAACAGCCCAGAGAACAGCAAAGACAAUGCAGAAAGGAGAAACUGCAAGAGUCAGGUAAGAGAUAGGUCCAAGGAAAGGGACUUUUACAUAAGCAUCUGCAGCACGUUGGAACCAUCUGCAAAAAGAACAGUCCAUGACAUCCUCCAAGAUAAACAUUAAAUGAAAUAGAUGUUAAAAGGAAACAUGCUUUUACCUUGAUAGUAACGCGACGAGGCAAGUUUGCAAACCCUGAAGAUAAAGAAGUUAUUACACCAUCUAAGACUAUAACAAGUUUCAAUUCAACUGAAGUAUGCAUUGUAUAAUGAUCAUUAGUCGAACGAUACUCGUACUGAGAAGAAGAAAAGAACUGAAAAGAAGUUGGUACCUCAACACCACCAAUGCAGAAAACAACCACAAGAAGCUCCACAAACCAAUAAGACAUAAGCUUGUAAAGAAUCACCAGGAAUCCCGAAGCAAGAACUACGAAAAAAAUAGCUGAAAUAGUAUUGAUCUCUACAACACCACUACCCCCAUCAUUUGUGUUAGGGAUUUCAUCUAUUGCAUCCUACAUUUGUGCAGAAACAAUAAUGUUAGAAGUAAGAAUGCUUAGGUACGAAUAAUAACAGUGAUGAUAAAACGAUUUAACAAAAGCAACAAAUAAACAAAACCAUGUGAGUCUGUUGUCAGAAGUAGACAAAUGCCUCAAGGAGGGGCCCAACUCAUUAAGAAAAGCCAUCCGUUACCUAUCCAUUUCUUGGAUGUUCAUCUUGACACAACCUUUCCAUAAUUGGGAAAGUAACAUGGUAAAGAAAUGCCUAAGCGUUGUUUAAUAUACUAUAAUUGACUUUUCUUCCUCGGCCUAACCAAGUUACCAACUACUCUGUCCCUUUUGGCAUCAUUGGAAAUGCACAAGAAGGGCAAGGGACUUACUUAUUGGCAGUUUACGUUAUCCUUACCCAUCCAACUAAAUCUUCCUAGCCUAAUAUUAUUAUUCCCAAAUAAAUAGAAAAUGUCGGACCUUCAGUAGCUUAUCAUGUUCAAUAGCUGCCUCUCGGGCACUCCAUGCAGACCAAUAAGAUGCACACAAAAUGGUACCAAUAGCCAUUAACCACAAAAAGACUUCAGCUACGUCAACAGCUGGUCGUCUUGGGGAGUAAAGCUGAGCCGACACUGUCAAGUACAGAAGAUUGUUGAGUUAACCGAUACAUAUUGUGCUUAAAUGACAACUUCGGAAGCAUAUUGUGCUUGAAACAGAAAAGCUAAACAGAUAAAUAAUUAGAGCGUACCUUUUGAACUGUUGGCUAGCAUCUUUUGCAAGGAUGCACCAGCAUCUUGAGGGAGCAUGACGGCAGGAAUCUGUAUAUCUAAAUCCGUUUCAUCCGGUUCACAAACCAUUUUGUAAAGUUCUGUCAGAGACAAACAAACAUAUAAACCAUUAAAUUCUACAAACAAUAUUGUCUCUGACUGUGAUAGUAAGCAUACCCAGAUAACAUCAAAGCAAUAAAACAAUUUCAACAGUCACAUCGAAACAAAACAAAUUACCUUUCUGAUUAUUGAUGAUGAGCAGAGCAGAGGAACCAGCAGCUUCUGCAUUAUUCGCCUUUGCUGUGAACCGACAGUUGCCACGUUCCACAAUAACAACCUCUCCAGAAAGCUAACAAAGAUUGAACACAUUUAAGUUGUACGCAUUCACGUUCAACAUCACAACUAGUUUACAAUGCAUUGAUUAUAACGUCAUAGGUCAUAAAAAACCUUGUUCUUGAGCGGUGUACAAGAAUCACGAGGAUUAGCAAAAACAAGGUGAGUCUGGUUUGCGUUCUUCUCCUUGGAAACUAUCCGCCUCCCAAAUCUAGCCCCAACCCCCACAAACUCCUCAUUCUCAACACCAUCAAUCCACGUUUGAACUUUCACCUAAAGAAUGAACCAGGUUACAACAGAAUCACACACUUAAAACUUUAACCAGAUCUCAAUCCAAUUUAUUGAACACUUCUCAGAUUUAAACAUGAACGAAGCUUUAACUCAGAAUUAGACUUAAACUAAGAGUUUAAGCUUUGACACAGAAUUGACGAAUCCAUAACUUAGAUCAACUACAUAAGCUAAUCAGUAAGCUUAACCUCCAAAAUUACUAAACUAAUCACGAAAUUUCAAUAUCAUAUAAAAUUAGAACGUUUUUUUUUUUGGGAACUACUUGUUGAACUUCGUAAAGAAGCCAGAAAGAGGGAAUAACAACAAAAUUCGUGAAGAAGAAGCUGAAUUCGAAGUAAGAAACGAGAGAUUCUAAGUACCAAAACGAAGUCAUUCUCGCAACCUGGUUUCUUCGGAGCUAGAUUGUCUUGAUGAACAAUAUCACCGGCGGUGACUGUAGAACGGAGAGAUAAGAGUAAAAUCGAAGAUGAUAGAAGAAGAAUCCGGAGAAAUCGAAGCGAAUCCAUGGAAAUGCUCCAAGGAUUCUCUCUUCUUCGCUAUAAUCACACAGAAACAAUGAAGAGAAGCGAGAGAGAGAGAGAGAAGAGUGAAACACGGAAUAGAAUUAAAAAUAAUUAAAUAAAUAAAAACAAGAAAUUGGGAGAUAUUCUUAGAAAAUUUAUUGGGAAUAUUUUAAUUCUAUCUGAUAUCAUUUGUUGGAUCUGUGGAAAGUGACGUAAGCGAGAAGGAAGUAAAGUGCAGGAACAUUGAAAACGACGACGUUAGGUCGAGCUAUUGGACCGGUUUUUGGCGUUUCCUCUGAUUGAACCGGUUUAGCUAAACUGGUUCUAUCACAAUCUUGUCGAAAUUUGUAUUAAACAAAACGAUUCAUGAAUUGACGUUUGUUGCGACAUUUAGGACAAUUUCCUCGGACAUACCAUGUUUUUUUUUUCUCUAAGCAAAUUAUUAUUUAUUUGGUUUUAUAUUUGAUUAGAUUGGUUUUGGAGUGGUCCCAAAAAUACGAAUGGAUAUUGGGAAUCUUUUAAUUUAUAACCAGAAAAUAAAAUUCAAAGUAUGCUUAAUAGUUUCAAAAGACUAUAUUCCCUCCCUGGCAUCAUUGCCAAACAUUCGUAAUUUAUGUUUUCGUCACAAUAUAUCACAAGGCCUAACUUUCUCAAUUUUUCAUAUUAAGAAAUUAUUUACCAAAUUGAAAAACCGUAAUUUCCCCGUAUUCUUUUUUGUUUGAAUUCACUUUUUUCAAUUAUGUUCGGUGUCAAUUUUGGAGAUAUGGAGGAAUAUAAUUAUUUUUAAACCGGAAUUAAACACCUGCUAUCGCUAAAUCAAAACAUACAGUCAUACACUGAUACACAAACACAAUCACUUACAUUUUUGGGUUUUAACGCUUACAAAAUUUGUAAGCAUCUUCUUCCACCUUUAGAAUCUUUCUCCUGCAGUAAGAAUGACAAAGAAAAAACCUCUCAUAAGUCUGAAUCAAGUUUAGUCGAAUCUUACAUUUCGAUAGCUUGGGUUUCCUAACUUUAAGGUAAUGGUGACUCCCAAGGUUAAAUACCUCCAAGUGGUGUAAUCUCUUUUCCUUGAGCAUGUUUUUAUGUCACUUGUGUAGAAUUCAUUACCUCUGUGCAAAUCGAUCUUCGCAAGAGCAUUGGACCAUGGUGGAAGAAAAUCUGGUUUCAUGGACUAAGCUAACUUCUCUUCUAAUGACUUCACCACGGAGAUAUUAAUGACUCUCUGGUAAUCUGCAGAAGCACAGUAAUACAAGGAAGAACAGAUUAGUGAUUGGGAAGCAUCUUGAGAAGUUUCAGCAACUCUUCACAGAUUAGAAACUUGGGUUAUCGUUUGUUGUUUUAGCUGUUACGGUUCUACUUACCGCCAUGGGAACUCGCUUGUGUCUAUUCCAGCUUGGUGAAGCUCAUCAACGUAUUGUAAUGCUUCCCGGCAUUCCUCUCUGUCAUCAUAGAACUCUUUCUUUUCACCUUCAAGCUGAUACGCUUCAUGGCCUUUUCCAGCUACAACCUGCAAAAAUCAGUGUCAAGCAAAGCUAUUUACCCGAAAACACCAAUUGACUAUACUUUGAUUGCUCGAAAAGGUAAAUCCAGCAACUUCAAUACCACACUCGGGAAAUUACUGUAUAGAGUGUGGGUUUAUUUGAAUACUUACAACCAUAUCACCUUCUUCACCCAUAGCAACAGCACAACGCACAGCUACACGUCUAAUAUCAUGAAGAAAGAGUCUAUGACCAUUUGCCAAAGGCGGAUAGUAAUCGUGUUCGCCAUGUUUCAAAUACUCUUGCAUCGUCCAUCCAAUCCCAGCCAACAUGUCAUCCAAGAUGUCCACUAAAACCACAUUGGAAAAUUAACUGUUAAUAUACCUCCACAAAUACUCAAGGGAGAUAGACUCAAUCUCUAAUUCUUAGAGUUACUUACAUGGAUCUUCAUUCCUCGGAUUAUCAGAUGUCAACAUUGUCACAUCGCUCUUUUCAGUAGCAAUUUUUGUCAUAAGCGGUCUUUUCCCUCUUUCAUUCUCACCCUCACAACCAAUAACUUCAAUACAUAAACAAAACCAACUAAAAUAAUCAGAUGACCACACAUAUAAAGACUAUAUAGGAACGGCCGAACAGGCAAAGAGUAUUUAUUGGAUGAAAAAAAUUCUAUACCGGUAAUGAUUCUUCUCGGUUUAAGCUCUCGAAUUGAAUCUAGCAGCCUUGACAAGCCAUCAGGUGUGUUUGCAUGAUCCACAAUAACACCAAAAGCUUGUUCCUCAUCAAUCAACUCACACCUUCCCGGGACUGCAUCGACUUCCUCAACACCUCUAACAAUAUCCUCAAGAGGAGCUCCAACCGCAAUCCCAACAGCCACAGCAGCAAGAAUAUUAUAAAUGUUAUGCCUUCCUAACAAACCUGAAGAGAUCUCCAAUAUACCUUGAGGGGUAUUAACCAAAACCUGUGUCUCAAACAAGGAAAGCUCAAACAUUAAUGGGUGAACAUCGGCUUUGGUGUUUUCCAUGGCAAAUGUCACAACAGGAACAUUAGGAUUCCCUUGCUGGACGAAGAAUGUUGCGUUUGGAUCAUCUAUGUUAACCACUUUCCUAUGCCUUCCCGGAUCAACCAUUCUUGCAAACAACUUGGCUUCAGCAUCUCUAUACUCUUCAUCGGUACCACGAAAAUCUGUAUUUUCUCUAGUCAAAUUUGUGAAAACUGCAAUGUCGAAAUCCACUUCAUCACAUUUCCCUAAAGCAAGUUCUUGAGGAGAAGCUUCCAUAACCAAAGCUUCAGUUCCAUUAUGCAACAUCUUAGCCAUCAAACUCUGAACCAAAACAGCAUCAGGAUUCGUUGUAGCAUUAGGCGUAUCCAAUUUGUUAUCGCCAUGAAUAUAACAAGAAACUGUGCUAAACAUUCCUGUUCGCACGCCCAUCGCUUCGUAGAGGCUCUUAAUCAAAUACGUAGUAGUCGUUUUCCCAUCUGUACCAGUAACUCCGAUCACCGACAUGUUCUUCGACGGAUGCCUAUAAAACGAAGAGGCUAAAGCUGCUAAAACCGCAUUAGUGUCUUCAACAAUGACAAGUGCUUUGCAACCUAAAGUAUCUUCAAUAUCAAUCUCUUUGCUAGCUACAACCGCCACUGCUCCUCUCUUAUCUGCUUCACUCAAGAAACUUUCACUUCCUACACAACACACGAAGAGAUCUCCGGCACUCACACCUCGUGAAUCGUGCUGAAUCCCGGUGAUCUCGACAUCUAAAUCCCCGUAAACUGAGAUUGGUACCACUUUACUCUCAUCUAAAAGCUCAGCUAAGCUCAUUUUGAAUUUAGGUUCCACAAUUCUCACUUUAGAUUCACCAAAAUCAUCCAAAUCGAAUUCAAAUUGAUGAUCAGACCCAAUCUCCUUCUUCUUGUUGAUCCUGGUGUUACCUUCCUCAUCAACCCAAUCUUCUUCAUCAGAAAUCUCGGUUAAUCCAGUUAAUUUAUCAAUUUCAUCCAAAUCAACAACUUCUUCUUCAUCAAGCUCAUCAACAACGUCAGUAACAUCACCUUCUUCCUCAUCUCCCUCCUCCCCAAUCUUCUUAAGCGACGCCGUUUUCGGAGGAUUAGGUUUGAGCAAUCCUUGCUUCACGAACUCACUACGUUUCAUGGAGAUUGCUCUAUCGAUAUCUGAAAACAAAUCGCCACCAGAUUCUUCAUCAUCUCGUCCCGUCUCUGCCGCGUCUUCCACAUCGGCGAUAGCGGAGAGAUAAGUGUUCCGAUUCUUCUCGAAAUCUUCUUCCUCUAGUUUCCGUGCACGAGCAGCUUGACGCUGUAUCUGCUGAAACUUCGAUACUCCGUGCAUUGAAUCCUCCGGUGCUUCAGGUGGAUCGUCAUCUGCAGGGUUCGGGUACGAAUUCCGGCGAGCAGGUCCCGCCGCAACCGUGAGAUUACGGGAAUUUCGAGAGAAUGGUAAGAGAACAGGUUUGUAGGAGAACGAAGAGGUGGUUCCAGUUAGAGAGAGAAAGACUGGGUUAGGAGAGAGAAAAGUGAACGCCAUUGGAGAGAGAGACUGAAGAAAGCAAGCAGUGAAAGGUUUUUCCAGGGGAUAAGAGUUGGUUUUGGGUUACAAAACGGUGCGUUUAAAGAAAUCAAAAACGCCAAAAACAGUGCGUUUCAAGUGUGUAGAAAAAAAAAGGUAGAAAAUUACAACGGCUAUAACAUAAUUACAAUUUAUCUAAAGAAAAAUUUUAAAAUAUUAUCUUUUCAAUCUUUAACACCAUUCAUUAUCGCUGCGAAACUUCCUGAUAAAAAUAUCAAAACACUAUUCGAAUUUGGUUGCACAACGCAUACAACGCCGAUACAACGCAUAGUAAAAUGAUGGGCUUGUAAGGCAGUAUAAUGGCCCAUAAUAUUAGCCCACUAUCUGUAUUAUUUUUACAGAAAAUAUUUGAGAACUAUUUUGUUUGAAGAGAAGACAAAAAGUUGCUUAAUGAUUGCUAUGUUGUUGGGAAAAGGUAUUUUUAUACUCUUACAAUUCGCUAAGUGCAUUUUUCUACUUAUACAAACAUGCGGUGUUAAUUCAUACCCAAACGCAUAAAAAUUUCAAAUUUCAUACCCAAACUUCUUAUUUUGUUGUAGAGAACCAAACAUAUGUUUUAUUUGAAUUAUUUAUAGAGAAAUUAAAAAAAAAGAUUAAUGGCUCUUGGAUUUCUGACAUAAGAGGUUGAUUUAAUUCCUUGAUUUUUAAAAAAGCUAAUGUUUUCAUCUAUCGUUGACCGAGGUUUAGAUUCCGAAUAGAGUAUGGAUGUAAAACAGUAAAAGAGACGGAAUUGUAUCCAAAAUUUCAUGAAAUUUGAUAUUAUUUUAUCCAUUAUGCAUCCAAUUAUGUCCCGCCAUGUACAUGUUCAUUUAGAGCCUAAGUCAUAUCAAGUUUUUUUGCACUAAAGUCUAUAGUUUAGUAGUGUAAUGUAGUUUUGUAUGUCUUUCUCUUAUUUUGAGAGCCGUAUCUUGGUCGUUGAUAAAAACCACAUGGCCACUUUAAUUUGUAACGUGGACCGACCACCGCCAUGUACAGUUGAGUUGGUUUAAUACACACUUUGUGGUUCCUUCGUCUUGGGCCUCACUUCCUACACUUCCUCAGCCCAUUUUCAUAACACGUGACCUACACAUGCUAUAAUGUAAUUACUGUUUCCUUUGUACAAUGUGUCAAAAAUACAACGAAAUUACUAAUUAAUGAGUACUAUAUGUUAUAAAUAAAUAUAGAUAUAUGUGUAUCAUUUAUAUUUGAGAACUAGGUGUUCCAAGCAACUUCAACCAUAUAAUUUUUCUAGUUUGGCAAAAGCUUUAAGAACACAAAGAUCAACAAAGAAUAACUCUCUUUAUUAAUCACUUAGGAAAAUAACUCAAAACCUAAGCACUCAAUCUCUAUUCUCAAAACUCAUAAGUUAUGCUACACCUUAGCAUCUUCUUAUAUAGAGAAGAGUUUUCCAAUUCUCAAAAGUAAAACUUACAUAUUUAGAUAACUCCUAAAUAGUACUUUUCCUAAUCUCUCUCAAAGAUAACUUAUUGUUCAAGUAACUUCAAGCUUAGGCCAACAUUCUCCCCCUUAAGCUUGAAGUUAUCUUCUCUCACAUCUUGAACUCCAAUGAGAUCUCUCAUCUCUUUAAACUUGAUCCUUCCAAGUGCUUUUGUCAAGAUAUCCGCCUUUUGUUCUUCACCGGGAACAUGCUCUACUUCUACUUGUUCAUUCUCGACGCAUUCACGUAUGAAAUGAUAUCUUCUAUGUAUAUGUUUACUACGUCCAUGAAACACCGGGUUCUUAGUUAGUGCAAUCGCAGAUUUAUUGUCAAUCCGUAUUGUCACCUUUUCACAGCCUUUUCCGAUGAUCUCACUUAGAAGUUCUUGAAGCCAAAUUGAUUGUUUAGCCGCCUCCGUAGCAGCCAUGAAUUCGGCUUCACAAGAAGAUAAUGCCACCGUUUCUUGCUUUUGUGAACACCAAGUAAUUGGACAAUUAUCAAGAUAGAAAAUAUGACCACACGUGCUCUUACCAUCGUCUACGUCAACGUUAUGUGAGCUAUCACUGCAACCCACCAACUUCAUCUUCUCCGAACGUUUAAACAAGAGACCAAGAGAGACAGUUCCCCGUAGAUAUCUCAACACUUGCUUCAAGACUGCUCCAUGAGAUUCUUUAGGAUCUUGCAUGUAUCUACUUAAAACUCCAACACUAUAAGACAAGUCCGGUCGUGUAUGAAUUAGAUAACGUAGACAUCCAAUGCUUCUUCUAAAUUCCUUUUCUUCGAUUGUCUUCUCGUCUUUAGACUUUGACAACUGCAAGUUUAAAUUCAUAGGAAUAUGAGAAAGAUUGCAAUCGUUCAUACCCGUUUCUCUCAAAAUCUUUUGAGCGUAUCUUUCUUGUUUUAGACUUAUCCCUCCUUCAUGUUGAUGCACUUCUAUUCCAAGAUAAUAAGUUAGUCUUCCAAGAUCACUCAUCUCAAACUUGGUUGCCAUCUCCUCUUUAAAAACCAGAAUUGCCUUCAUACAAGAUCCCGUAACAAGUAAAUCAUCAACGUAAACCGCAACCGCAAGUAGAUGUCCUUUCUCUUUCUUUUGAUACAACGAUGGCUCCUUUGAGCACCUCUCAAAAUUUAAUUCCCUAAGAAUCUUGUUUAACUUGUCAUUCCAAGCUCUAGGUGCUUGUCUCAAGCCAUAGAGAGCUUUACUUAACUUGUAAACUUUUUCUUCACUUCCUUCUACCACAAAUCCUUCGGGCUGUUGAACAUAAACUUCUUCUUUCAAUUCUCCAUGGAGAAAGGCGGUCUUAACAUCCAAGUGAUGUAUUUCCCAGCCUUUUGAAGCUGCUAAAGCAAUAAUAAACCGAAUAGUUUCAAUACGUGCCACCGGAGCAAACACUUCAUCGAAGUCAAUACCGUGUCUUUGAACAUAUCCUUUAGCCACUAAGCGAGCUUUGUGCUUGUUAAUGCUUCCAUCAGAGUUUCUUUUGAUUUUAAACACCCACUAUAGGCCAAUUGGUUUCACUCCAAUGGGAAGUUCAACCAAAUUCCACGUUUUAUUUUUCUCUAUCGAAGAAAUCUCUUCCAUGCAUGCUUCUAUCCACACUUUCGAUUCUUUUGCUUCAUUAUAGUCCCAUGGCUCCUCAUUUAUCACCGUUAGAAGCCUUUCACACUCUGCCUCUGCCAUGAGAAUAUAAUCACUUAGAUAUUUUGGUUGCACUCUUGGUCUUUUGGAUCUCCUUAACAACGGUUGUGGCUGUUCUAGCUCAUCAUCAUCAUUGAGUUCAUUAUCACCGUUGUUCUCUUCUUUCUCUUCCUGAUCUUCAUUCAACACGUCCUCAUUCACAACUUGAGUAUCAUGUGGGUUCUCCUCUGUUUCAAUUUCUUCCUCUGUUUCUGGUAUAUCAAUGAUUUCUCUUAUACCCUUAUUACCAAACUCGCCUAGCUCAAUAAUAAAAGAUCCGAAAUUACUUUGAGCUUCUCUGUUCCAACUCCAACCUUUACUCUCAUCAAAUACAACAUCCCGACUCACUGUUAUUCUCUUGGUUGUAGGAUCGAGUAAACGAUAUGCCUUUGAUCCAGGCUCUGUUCCGAGAUAAAUUAAAGCUUUUGAUCUAUCAUCUAGUUUCUUUCUUCCAACAGCUUCUGUUCUUGCAUACCCAAUACAACCAAACACUCUAAGAUGCGCAAGAUCUGGCUUUCUCCCUUUAAAGACUUCGUAUGGAGUUGAUUUGACUAGGGAUCUUGUUGCAAUUCUAUUGAUCAAAUAAGUAGCAUGCCUUACAGCUUCUCCCCAUAAAUAAUUUGGAACACUCAUAUGCUUCAAAAUACUUCUAGUCAUCUCCAAGAGUGUGCGGUUACGUCUUUCAACAACUCCGUUUUGUUGCGGUGAAUACGGUGCGGUUAGAUGUCUUUUAAUGCCAUACUUGUCACAAUAAUCUUGAAACUCUUUGGACACAAACUCACCACCUCUGUCAGUUCGGAACGUCUUGAUCGUGUUUCUUGUUUCUUGUUCAGCAAGUAUUUUGAAGUUUUUAAACUUCUCAAAAGCUUCACGCUUUUCUCUCAACAACACAGUCCACAUAUAGCGUGAAUAAUCAUCAAUGAUCACAAAUACAUACCUCUUUUGGCCCGCAGUCGAGGGUGUAAUAGGUCCACAGAGAUCUCCAUGAAUAAGCUCAAGAGGUUGUGUGGCUCGAAAACUUGUUGCUUGUGGAAAGGGCUGUCUUGUUUGUUUUCCCAGAAGACACGAUACACAUGUUUCUUUUUCAACUACAAAUCUUGGUACACUAGACACUAAAUCCUCAUUGAUCAUUGUCUUUAUUGUGUCCAAGUUAGCAUGUCCCAAGCGUGAAUGCCACUUGUUUGAUUCCGAUGAUGAGAUCACUUGUAGACACAAUACGACAUCAACUUCCAACGCUACUUUGUACAACCGAUUAGGAGACCUUGCUGUUUUGACUAGUAACUGACCAAGUCGAUCAUAAAGCAUCAAAAGAUCUCCUUUCAUACGAACUUCACAUCCUCCUUCUGUGGCUUGACCAAGGCUUAAAAUAUUUGACUUUAAAUCCGGUAUAUAGUAUACGUUCUUCAAAAUCUUCAAGACUUUCUUCUCACCAUCCCGAAACACAAACUUAACUGAUCCUUUGCCCUUUAUAUCAAUACGGGAGUCAUCUCCAAAUUUUACUUUUCCCACAAUUGUCUCAUCAAGACUCAUAAAGAAGCUUCGAUUUCCACUCAUAUGGUUACUUGCACCAUUAUCAAGAUACCACACAUUCUCAGUGUCAAGAUUGGAUUCAAAACUGUUUGGUUUGACCUUGUUUUCAUUGAGAUAAACCACUUCAUGCAUCAUUAACUCAUCGGCCUCUUGUGUGGCAUCGUCCUUCUUCUCAAUAGUUUCUUGAAGUUUAAGUAACCGAUCGGGACAAUUGGAUGCGUAAUGACCUUGUUUGUCGCAUCGAUAACAAGUUAUCAUUGCGUCUCUUUCUCGUCCUUGUCUGUAUGAUCCAUUUUGGAAAGAACCAAAAUGUCCACGGCCUCUUCGUCUCCAAUAAUUUCGUCCUCCUUGACCCCUACCUCUGUUAUUUCCAUAGCUUUCUUGUCUUGAAUCUGUGUUAGCGUACAUAAGUUUACCACUAUCCUCUUGCUCUUCUUCUUCUUCACAAAUUCUUUCUUCAUAGACCUUUAAUCUACCCACAAUAUCCUCAAACGUUGUUUUGUUAAGGUCGAGUACUUGCUCAAAAGAUGCCACGAUGUGUAUAUACCUUUUCCGCGGAAGUGAUUUGAGGAAUUUCUUCACAAGCUUUGCUUCGUCGAUGGUUUCUCCAAGGGCUGCCGAGUUUGAUGAGAUUUCAGCAAGUUUUCCAGCAAAAACAUCCACCGUAUCUCCAUCUUUCAUCUUGAUUUUAUCAAACUCAGUCAUCAAGGUUUGCAGCCUAGCUUCUCUGACUCUCUCCGCACCAACGUGUCUCGCCUUUAUUGCAUCCCAAACUCCUUUUGACGUAUCAUGCUCUCCUACUUGUAGAAUCAAAGCUUCUGGGAUAGAUUGAAAUAACAGAGCAGUCGCCAUAUUGUUCUUGUCAUCAUCUUUAUUUCCAGUUUCUAUCGUAUCCCAUACCUUGUUUACUUUAAGAGCAAUCUUCAUUCGCAUAGCCCAGACUGUGUAAUUGGCGGCAUUUAGCAUCGGACACUUAACAGAGGAAGGUACAAUCUCCUUGGCAGAGUUGACCUUGAUCGACUCAUCUUUCUCAUCAACGUCACUCAUAUCUUGUUUGAUGAUUUUAAUCUUCGAAGACUAAUGAAUCAAAACCGCUCUGAUACCAAAUCUAGUUUGGCAAAAGCUUUAAGAACACAAAGAUCAACAAAGAAUAACUCUCUUUAUUAAUCACUUAGGAAAAUAACUCAAAACCUAAGCACUCAAUCUCUAUUCUCAAAACUCAUAAGUUAUGCUACACCUUAGCAUCUUCUUAUAUAGAGAAGAGUUUUCCAAUUCUCAAAAGUAAAACUUACAUAUUUAGAUAACUCCUAAAUAGUACUUUUCCUAAUCUCUCUCAAAGAUAACUUAUUAUUCAAGUAACUUCAAGCUUAGGCCAACAAUUUUCAGUUAGUACUGCAAGUUUAUCUUCUUUUUUGUUACCAAAAGUCUAGGGCGCGUGGUUCACCUUCUAUUUUCUUCAACGAGAACUCUUCGCAAAAUCAAAUUGUGAUGCCAUGUCAGCAAUGGGUAAUAAUACGUUAGGUUUGAAGGAAGGAGCGUCGAUCCCUAUUCCCACAAUUGAUUGUAACGUUGGUUUUCACUUUCCAUGUUCUCAUGAAUCCACAUAAAUCAAUUAAAUUCAGAGCACCUCACCACUCUUUCGCUAGAUUAAGAUUUGAUCAUCUAAAAAUCUUCUAGCUUUACACGCUCUAUAGUGAAAUUGCCUUCCAAUCACGCAUCAUUUUUCAAUUCUGUCAGAAACUCAGUUUUCCGACAUAACCGCGAUAUUGUUUUACAAUAGGGAUGAUCGACGAGAAGGUCAUGAAUCCGAACGAGAUUGAUACGAUAAGCAGAUCACAAACAAUUCCCACCAAGAUUUUCCUUAACUGUGUGUCUCUCUUUGAUUUAAAGAUCCAAACGUAAGUUUUGAUUUGGUUUUCUGGAAUAUGGUGCAGCUAAUAUAUAUAUAGCUACAUAUGAUGUUAUGGUCUCAACGACGCCCUUUAAAAGGACUAGAUUGGGUUUGGAGACUGACAUCCAUGAUUUGUUAUAUUCUUUUCAUUUUAUGGUUUUAGAGUUAGCUUCCCGCAUAGGUAAGUUCUUUUCAAUGAUUUAAAAACAUGCUAUUCAAUUUCUCUACAAUUGAAAUUCUAGUACACUCUCGUAGGUUCGUUUUCUCUAAAACUCUAAUCACCAAGUAUACUUUAUAACAUUGUCUACGAUUCAUACUUAAAAUGUAACACGUCUUCUCACUUGCAUUGAUGUUUCAUGUAUAUAUGCAGAUGGGAAAUGGCAAUGGCAAGCGUUUGUUCGACAUUCAAGAAUCAUAAGCACCUGACCUCAUAAAACUAAAGUGGGAUCCAUCAGAAAUAAUUUACACAAGUUUAUCAUCUAGAUGUUAGUGGCACUUCACUUUGUUCCAUUUAGUUUUUCAUUUUACGUGCUUCUUUCUUUAUAAUUAAAAGGUUCAAUACACUAGACUCCAGUUUCUACAAUAAAACUUACUCAUAUUUACGACUUGGUUUAGAUACAAAAUGGUCAUCUAUGCCAUGCCAUGUAUUGUAUAUUUCAGGUUUCUAAAGGCUUCAGAGGUCUCAGGUAUCCAAAAUAAUGUGUUUCAAAUCUACUUUCUUUACCCACCUACUUAAAAAAUCAGUUAUCUUACUCUUCCAUUCAAUUUGGUCUUUAUAUUGUGUAUGUGCACAUUCCAUGGGACCCCUUAAUUAUUCUCCUUUUUCUGCUUCAGUGGUGAAGUGGUGACAUAAUGGGAGUGGAAGCAAAAACAGAGCACAGAGAAAUUAUGAUUGACCUUUUCAAGUUCAUCCAUUUAUGCACAUAUAUAUAGUUAUGCCUGUUUUUGUUUGUCAUUUCUUCUUACAAAUUUUUGAAGCAUACAAUUUGGCAUAGAUAAGAAUUAAUAUAAAUUUUGUAUCCUCCAUACAUUUUGGAGUCAGAGACAUGAUAACACUUCUUUUGAUUACAACACUUAUGAAUCAAUGGGGGAUUGGCCAUCAACAAAAUUUUGAUUUGUUUGCUAUUGUAUUUUUAUUUUAUGUUCCCACAAUAAUCUUGGUGGUAAUGGUAAUGACGUCUUAACUUACAGAAAUUGUAAUAUGUUUCUUCUUCAUUGUGAAUUUAGAUGCAAAGAAAUUAAAACAUACUGACAUAAGAAGGACAUGAUUCUGUUACAUGAGAAGGACGUGAUUCUGUUACAAAAAUCGAAACCAGAGUUUAAGAUUCAAGGAUGGGUUUUAGAUUCAAGUAGUACUCCCUAUAGACUUUGUGGUAAAAAUGUUAAGACAUAAUAUCAUGAAUUUUUUCUACUUAUACCAAAUAACUAAAAAAAAUAGAAUUUAAAACAAAAUUACCUAAACCGUCAAAUGUUAACCCGGGCGUAGCCGGGAUUUUCACCUAGUUGACAUAAAUAUAUUAUAUUGAACGGCAGAGAGAAACUUUGGUGAAAAGUUGGAUGGAUUUGAUUAUUAAUAACAUAAGACAAGUGGACAACCACACGUAUACCGUUACAAGUCAAACAAUCAUAUUUAUGUUCCACCAAUUUCUAUACAAUAAUACGAAUGCAAUCUCAAAUUUUAAUAAGUCAUAUUGACUUAAGAGUUAACGUGAAACUAACCCCAUUGACUAAAGAGUUAGAUUCGUUACUGGUGAUAAAGGGAUGAACAGAACUACAAUUCCGGUUUGGGUAAAUAUAGAAUAAGUGCAACAGACGAAAAUUAAACAGAAAGAAUUGAUUCAUCAAUUUAAAUCAUAUGUACUACUAAUUAACAAACAAAAAAAAAGAGUUAAAGCUAGGCCUGGGCAAAAAAACCGCUAACCAAAUAAUCGAUCGAACCGAACCGAAAAAAACCGAACCAUAUCCGAACCGAAGUUUUUAAAAUAACCGAAUGGUUUGUAAAAUCUCCUAUCCAAACUAACCGAAACCGAACCGAACCGAACCGAUAACCAAACGGUUAACCGAAAUAUCCAAAAACCUAUAAGAUACCCAAAAAUAAUAUCCAAAACUAUAAUUAUAACCUCAAAAAAUUAAUUAUUUUUAUAAUCAAAACAAUCAAAUACUUUAAAUAAUCAAAAUAUUCAAAUAUUGUUUGUUAUAUUUAUCAAAGUUAACUACUCUUUUACAAAAUUGAAUCAAAUUUUAAUUUUUUUCUAAUAUUUUAAUUUUUUUGCAUUUUCUUUUUGUAUUUUUUUGGUUAAUUUUGGUUAGUUUCGGUUAUAUUCGGUAAAUUUCGGUUAAUUUGGGUGAAAACCCGAACCAAACCGAACGUGAUAAAAGUUUGAUUAGUUACGGUUACCUAUUUAAAUAUCCAAACCGAACCGAACCGAAAGGUAACCGAACCGAACCGAACCGAAAUUCUUAAAAUAUCCGAAUGGUUAUUAUAUUACCAUAUCCAAACUAACCGAAACCGAACGUAACCGAACCGAAACCGAAUGGUCAACCGAAUGCCCAUGCCUACGACAAAUCACAUGUUAAUAGCUAGCUUGAAAACCAAUAAACUAGUUAUUUAACUAAUCAAUAUGAGAACAAAAAACACAUGUAAAUUUCCGAUUAUUUUACGAAAUUUAUUCGCAUAACCUCAUUAAAAUUAUGGUGAAUAUUUGUAAUAUUUAUUACAGACCCGGUAGCAAAUAUCUAACACGUAAAAUAGAAAGAAAAAAGGAACAUGCCGUAUUGGGAUCGGCUACUAUAUAAAUAUAUGUUAUUCAGAUAUUAAUUUCUUGAUAUAUACACACACAUAUUAAAUGUGCAUGUGUAUACACGUACUAAGACGUAGAUGGAACAAUACAAUUCUUUACGUUACUAACUAUAAUAAAGAUUAAUCUGCAGAAAAUAAGACCAAUAAUAUUCAUUUAAGGACUCGAGAACCAAUCGGUAAAUGUCAAGAAAGACUAUAACAGCAAAAUAUUAUACGUAAUAAAUAAUAAUCAUUAAAAGCAGAUGUACUACUUAUUUCAUUAUUUGAGUUUGAUUCCAACGGUUACAUUUUUCGAUAAAAUAAAUUUUGGGCCAAAAAGGUACUACUCCUUUUAUUGACAGUGAUAAGUUAAUGUUUAAAAUCACAUAAAAACCAUGGUAAUAUUUAUGUUUUACUCUAUAUAUAAAUGUAUAUGUAUAUAUUUUUAGAGAUAAGAAGAGGACAGAAAUAAAAGCUUUAUUUGAAAGCAUUGUCUUAUAUCUGCAAAUUUCAAUGUCUCUUUCAUUCUCACGUCCCUCUCCUCCUUUCUCAUUUUCUCUCAUUUAUUUUACAAACUUAAGGAAAAAAAACUAUCUUUAAUUAUUUAUUUUUAUUUUUAAAAAAAUAUUUUCAAAUUAUUACAGUAUAAAAACAAAAUUGUACACUAUAAAUGUCUGGUCGCCUGCAAAAAAAUGUCUGAACAUCUAAAAUCAAAAGUGUAAAUCAGUAAAUCUACUGGUCUUUUGAUUAUUUUAUUUUCACUUCUAAUCAUUUCCUUUUCUUUUUUUUUCCACAAGUUACUUUCCUUCAUCUUCUUCUUCUUCUUCUCCAUAAGCCAAACUAAAACCCUCUUUAAUGGCGAGAGGACCCAUCUCCAAGAAUAAACAGUAAUCUUCAUUUAUUGUCCUUACAAAUUUUUCAUUAAGGCCAAAAAAAAUCCCCAAAUUAAAAAUCAAAUAAAAAUCUUUUCUUUUUUAAUUACAUGAGUAGAUGAAGAGACAAGGGUCCCUAUAAUUUUCUCUUUAGAUCUUCAAAACCCAAACCUCAAUCAUGUUGGUCACUUUUCUUCUUCCUUUAUAAUCUAUGUAGAAACAAAAAUCUAUGGUUUUUAACUUUUCAUGUUUAUCAGUCCCUCCAUCAUCACAAAGCUGAGUGCUUGAUUGGCUCCACAGACAGACUCUGUAAAGAAAAGUUUGCAUUUUUUUUCUGACCCAGUUCAACCAAAAAGCUCUGGUAAGCAAAUCUCUCUUAUAUAUUGUAAGAUAUACACACUUAUUUAUGAAAAAGAUUACAUUUUUUUGGCUAAAGGAAGUUUAUUUUUUCAUGAAUAAGAAGUUUUUUUUUUUCAUGAAAAUCUCAGUUUUGGGUUUAUGGGAAGAUAAAAAAGGUAACCCAGGAAGUAAAAUUGACAGUUUUGUAUCCAAAAGAAGCAAUUUUUGGACACUAUUAGAAUUAUCUGUUUUUGUUGCUGUUACUAUGUUUGUAAGAUUUUUUAAAAAGAUAAGAUUUUUUUUUGUUUUGUUUUUUCAGGUCUUUGAGAAACGAUUUUACUAAAUUGGAGACGAGAGUUUUGAAUGAUUGGUGAAUUUGUUGUUGAUCAUCAAUGGAGAAGAAGCGAUCACCAAGAAGUAGCAAGAGUCCUGGACCUGCAAUUUUCCCUAAAAGCCCUCUUGUCUACGAGAGUUAUAAGUCAGGUUGUGGUUGGAAACUGAUAAAGUUCUUCGAUUUCGGACAUGUCAAAUCUGGUAAUAAGAGACUUGGUUCAGAGAAGAAGAAAUUCAUCAGAGAUUCUGCUGGUUAGUGGUAUUUGAAAUCAGUGUUCUUGGAUCAUUUCUUAACAUGAUCUUAGUGUUAAUUUGAUUUUUUCUCUUUUUGUAGGUAAUGUUUAUACUAAAAGCCAGCUUGAUUUGCUUAAGAAGCUUCAUGAGAAGUGUCAGUGUAAUGAUGUAAGUUUUUAAAAUUGUUAGUUUUGGGUUUAAGCUUAAGUAGAGAUUGUUGAGUGAAACUGAAUCUCUUGAUUUGUUCAGCGGAUUGUGGAAGAAGAGAGUUCGUGUAAGCCUAAAACAAGGAGAAGAUCUUUGAGUUCUGAAAGAGAACUUGAGAAGUAUGAAUCUAAACCUGUUCAGGGAUUGCUAGAGAGAGAGAUAAGAAGGAUCAAGAAUCUAAAGGAGGAAACUUGCGAUGUCCCUGAUAUGCAAAAGCAAUCUUCUUUGAGUGAAAUUGAGAAGACAAAUGAUAAGGAUAAUCAAAUAGAUCUGAAGAAUGGGAGAGAUUGUAAGAAGAGUGCAGAGAUUAACCUUCAAGCUUGUGUAAAUGAAGCUGCUGAAACAUUUAUCUGUUCCAAGGCAGAAGAGAAGGGGAAAGAUCGGUCUAAGCAGUUCAUGGAGGCGUUAGAUAUUCUAAGUUCGAACAAAGAAUUGUUCAUUACACUCUUACAAGAUCCUAAUUCAUUCUCGAAAAAAGGUCAAGACUUGGAAGGAUGUAAGGUAAAGGACCCGCGGGAUAACUCUCCAUCAAGGGAUGAUGAUUUGGAUAACAUUGUUCUCUUGAAGCCUAGAUUAUCAAGCUCGGUUGACGAUAAAGUAUACUUGAGAUUCAAACAUCUGGCCAAGAAGUUGAAGCUCGUUGUUGGAUCUAACAAAGAUAGCAAUCACGCAGAAAACAAACCUGAAGGUAGCGGUAAAGGUAGAGAAACCGAGGCUGCUGCUUUUAGAACAAGUGAUGUUUCUACAAGUACAUUUGGACAUAGAAGCCCGGAGUCACCGGUGUUUAGGCGCAAAAAACGGGUAGAAUCAGAUGUUUUCAAGCUAAGUAUCGAGAACGAUGUUUUGCCAAGGAGAUUCAUGGUAGAAAGGCAACAAGAGAGAUUAAAUUCUUCACCGGUUUAUGAGGUUCCUUAUCAAUUGAGUAGCUUGCAGACAAAGCUCAAAGAAAGAAGACAGAAGCUGGAAAAGAAAAGAGAGAGCUUCAAGUUGUGGUCUUUGGACAAAAACUUCGAGGUUUUUGACCCGAAUCCAUACAAUUCUAAUCUAAGGUCUCUCGACGGCAAUUGUACAGGUAAAAGAAUACAGAACCUUUAACAAAUCAUCGUCGAGCCAAUGCAACUAAACUGUUAAGAUUUGAAUCAGGUUCUGCUGAGUACAAAAGUCUGAGAACUCUUGUAGAAGACGGAUUCGUGAAAGAUAGAUGCCUCGAGAGCUCAUUAGCAGUAAGUACUGAAGAAAAGAGUAGAGAUGUCUAUGUUUCUACCGGAUUGGAUGUUUUAUUUAUGCUUUAAUCCGUUGCAGGAGUCGAAUUCGAGUCUAGAAAGACAAGACUGCAACAUUCAUGACCCGAAACAGGAGCAGGAACAACCGAGUCCUGUCUCUGUUCUUGAGAGGAUUCAUUUGGAAGACGAAACCGUUAUCCCCGGAAAUGUGAAAAUUUCUAACCUUGGUAAAAGCCCCUGAAUCAAUGCUUUCAUUAUUUUCAUCCUUGGAUCACAGUUAUCUGUUUGAUUUACCCGAAAAACUCUGUUACUUUCUUGCAGAAGAGAAGAUUGGAUUAUCUUUUGAUGAUUCCAACAUUGAACUUGUCGAAAAAGAAUCCGUUCAUGAGUUUGUGAAAAAAGUUCUUGAAGCUUCAAGAUUGAAUUGGACUAAUCUUAUGGCAAGGUGCAACGAAGAAACAUCACUACUCGAUGAAUUCUCACAUGGUAAUCACAACGACCAGCUUCUUCUUGUUCUUGAUUACACCGACGAGAUUCUCCGCGAAAUUUACCGUCAAGACAUCAAGUUUUGGCCUUUCUCGCCAUCGAAGAGCUCGAGAGUCGUCAAUCUACAAUCAUCCCUUAGAGAAAAAGAUCUGAUUCACGAGACGAUGAGACAUUUUGACUGGAGUUUACUCUGCUCCGACUCUCCUACAAGAUCAUUGGAUCAGAUCAUUGAAACUGAUAUAAUAAAGCCAUGUCUUUGGUUGGAUUUUGGUGGUGAAUCUGAAGGUGUUGUGUCUGAUAUUGUGGAAAAGAUUCAGCAACAAUUGGUGCUUGAGAUCUCUCAUGAGCUAAGAACAAUGCAGAGGAGCAUAUUAUGUCGAUUAAUCUGAAUUUCUUCGGAUAUAUUCCAACAUUUUUUUUGUCUGUAUAAAAAUGUUUAAAAUUUGAGAAUCUUCUCUUCAUUAUUAUUAGUUAUCUAAAUUUAAAAAGAUUCGAUCUUUUGAUUCGAACUUGGGAUGGUUCUAGUAAAAAGCUUCUGAUUCAUUGAAAAGGUUUUGACUUUUGACCAAUUGAGAUUUUGUUAUUGGAAUUAGGGAUUUAGGGUUUUAACAGCGGCCGGAAAUUGUGGGCAAAAAGAUUCGAACUUUUUUUCAUUAUCUCAAUUAUUAAUGACAAAAGAUCUCGUCUUUCUCGUUUUCUGUGAUUCAGACAAAAGUCAUAAAACCCUAGUUGCUGCUUCUGCUCUGUUUUUAUAAGCCUCCACUUCCCGCCAAGCCUCUCUUAGCCAUAAACAGUGAAAAACCCUAAAUCUCUUUUGUUCCUUCACCAAGCACCAAGCUCUAAAACCCUAUCCAUGGAGACGCCGACGAUGAAGCCUGAUACGGUUUUGAUUCUUGAUUACGGCUCCCAGUACACACAUCUCAUAACUCGCCGUAUUCGUUCUCUCAACGUCUUCUCUCUCGUAAUCAGUGGAACUUCAUCGCUCAAAUCAAUCACUAGCUAUAACCCACGAGUCGUUAUCCUCUCCGGUGGACCUCACUCUGUUCACGCGCUCGACGCGCCGAGUUUUCCCGACGGGUUCAUGGAGUGGGCAGAGUCGAACGGUGUUCAUGUUUUGGGGAUUUGCUAUGGUUUGCAAUUGAUUGUGCAGAAGCUUGGAGGUGUUGUUGUGGAAGGAGAAAGUAAAGAGUAUGGGAAGAUGGAGAUUGAAGUGAAGGGCAAAUCGGAGAUUUUUGGGUCGGGGAGUGGUGGAGAGAAGCAAAUGGUUUGGAUGAGUCAUGGUGAUGAAGCGGUUAAGCUUCCUGAAGGGUUUGAAGUUGUGGCUCAGAGUGCUCAAGGAGCUGUUGCUGCUUUGGAGAAUCGGAAGAAGAAGAUUUAUGGAUUGCAGUAUCAUCCUGAGGUAUUGAAACUUGUAGAAUCUGAUAUAAGAUCAUAGUUUUGGAUUGGAGUUUUAGUGGGUUUAGUGUUUUUGGAUGAUAAAGUCUGGAUCUUUGGCAUGUUAGCUGUUCAUAUCUUAAUGAAUCUGUGACUCUCUGAUAAGUGAAAAAUGUGAGACAUUUCUUAAUUUGGACAUAGCUAUUUUAAUGGUUGGUUAGUGUGAUCCUAGAGGGUGAGGAAUCUGAUAUAGUAUUGUAGUUUGGAUUGGAUAGUGGAUUUUAAAUUUAUGGAUGACAAAGUCUGGAUCUUUGGCUUACUAGCUAUUCGUAUCCGUAAUGAAUCUGAUGAGACUACUUGGGAGAAUUUAGUUCAUGUUCUGUGAUUCUCUCAUAAGCGAAUAAUAUGAGACUGUUUUUGAAUAUAACUCGGGAAUUCAAUUUUAUUGACAUAGCUAUUUAAUGGUUGGUUAGUUUGCUUCUAGAGACUGAAUAAUUUGAUAUAGUAUCAUUGUUUGGAUUGGAUUUUAAGUGGAUUUAGUACUUCUAUUUGAUUGAAAUAACUAUAUCAAUGUUUUGUUAGUCCAUUGAUUUGAGAAUUACUCGUGAAUGUCGGUAAAUGAUGUGCUGGUUAAGUGUUGAUUUCUUGCUUAUGAUGAAAUGGUUUUUGUUUGAUUUUGCAGGUAACUCAUUCACCAAAAGGGAUGGAGACACUUCGGCACUUCCUCUUUGAUGUAUGUGGAGUAUCUGCCGAUUGGAAAAUGGAGGAUCUGAUGGAAGAAGAGAUCAAAGUGAUUAACCAAACCGUUGCAUCUGACGAACAUGUCAUUUGCGCCUUGUCAGGAGGUGUGGACUCUACUGUUGCUGCAACUCUUGUUCACAAGGCAAUUGGAGAUAGGCUUCAUUGUAUCUUUGUUGAUAACGGGCUAUUAAGGUUAGAGAAGAAGCGACUUUCAUUGUGAUGUGCACUUUUAUUGUGUUUUUUCGUUAAUUGAGAAUGGUCCCUUUUGUAGGUAUAAGGAGCAAGAACGUGUGAUGGAUACCUUUGAGAGAGACUUGCAUCUACCUGUUACUUGUGUUGACGCAUCCGAGCGGUUUUUGAGUGAACUUAAAGGCGUUGUGGAUCCCGAGACCAAGAGAAAGAUAAUCGGAAAGGAGUUCAUCAACAUUUUUGAUCAAUUUGCCCAAGAGUUAGAAAAAAAGCAUGGGAAGAAACCUGCUUUUCUAGUUCAAGGGACUCUGUACCCUGAUGUGAUUGAGUCGUGCCCUCCCCCUGGUACUGAUAGAACUCAUUCUCACACCAUCAAAAGUCAUCAUAACGUUGGAGGACUCCCUAAAGACAUGAAAUUGAAGCUGAUCGAACCACUCAAGCUUCUCUUCAAAGACGAGGUGUGUUACUAUUGUCUUUUUACUAUCUUUCUUGUCUGCAACUGUCGAGUGUUUGGUAUGUGAUCUUUCUCUGAUUUCUUGUGCAAUAAAGGUUCGUGAGCUCGGAAGAAUCUUGAAUGUUCCUGUAGGAUUCUUGAAGCGUCACCCAUUCCCUGGUCCGGGACUCGCAGUUAGAGUUUUGGGCGAUGUCACCCAAGGAAACGCCCUCGAGGUUCUUCGUCAGGUGAUCUCUUGAAAACUUCAAACCGGCUAUAUAAAUUCUUUGGUUUUGUACUUACUCAUUUACCAAACUCAUCUUUUUUUUUUUCCGGUUUUUUUUCCAUCUCCUCAGGUUGAUGAGAUUUUCAUCCAAUCAAUCAGAGAUGCGGGUCUCUAUGAUUCGAUCUGGCAAGCUUUCGCAGUGUUCUUGCCUGUAAGAUCAGUUGGAGUCCAAGGUGACAAGAGAACACAUUCUCAUGUGGUUGCUCUACGGGCAGUUACAAGCCAAGAUGGAAUGACUGCAGACUGGUAAGCUUCUUACUUGUCUUAAUACCAAUGCUUAUAGUACUCUUUUGAUCGUAACUCAUUACCGUGUUGAUGUGAAUAAUUGAGGUUUAGAUCUAUCAUGUGGUACUUAGGAUUGAGUAUUUGGGUAUUUGAGAUUUAAGGUCGGAUUAGUUUAGGUGUUGGGAGUGUUUAAAGUCAUGUAUUUAGGUAUCUAGGUUGUCUCAAACCGGUUAAAUGGAUCGGAUAGUGAAACUUAACAAUAUUUACUUGCUUUGUUGCAAUAUUUAAGACUCGUUAUCCGAUCUGAGUACAAAUAGAGGUACAUUGAUUCUAAGAGAGAACAAGUAUUCAAUGAAAACGCAAGUUUAUAUUGUGACUGUGGGUACUUAGAUUGGUGAUGUUUAAAUAAACCGCAGGUUCAAUUUUGAGCACAAGUUUUUGGACGAUGUUUCCCGGAAAAUCUGUAACAGCGUUCAAGGAGUAAACCGUGUGGUUCAAGACAUUACAUCAAAGCCUCCUUCAACGAUCGAAUGGGAAUAAAGUAAAAACAUAAAUUUGAGUCUUUUAUUUAUGGGUGUCUGCAAUUCUUCUACCAUGUAAAAUAGAUUAUCAUCAAACAAUGAUGGUGAAUUAGUGAUGGUGUUUAUCAUUAUUAUUAUUAGUAGACAAUGGUUUUCUGGUGAAAUAAAUGAGUAAUCGGUAGACAAUGGUAUCACACAUUUUGGGCCAGUUGCUUAUGGGUUUUAGCCCGGAUGAUCAAAUUGGUGUGUUUCUAUGCAACAAGCAUUCAUUUCCAGGGAAUAGUCAUAUCAGUUAGGUCUUGAUCACCCUGAGUUCUGGAAAAAUAUAUACAUGAUAUAACCGAAUUUAUACGUUCAAGAUGUAGCUAGGUUAAUCAUUACAUAACCGGCCUUGUAUACAGUAGUUGUGUUGGUACAUUUCUACAAUAUGUUAAUCCUAUUCUUCUCCUUACUUUUCAAUAGCACUAUGGUACAUCUUUUUCUUGCCUUUUUGGCUUUUCUAAGUGCAAUUUGGGAGGGAAGAUAUGAACUAGAGACUGAUCCAUAUUGAAUUUCAUGCUGUGGUUUCGUAACUUUAUGUAGAUAACGAAAAGUAGGUUUAAACUUUAAAGUAGUCUUCUUUCAAUAUUCGGUAUUUAAAUCUAGUUUGUAUCUUCUAAACCUCAGCUUCACCAAUUCAUGGAUCUCCUUAAUGGCCACCUACCAUGCCAACCAAUCUCAUUAAAGAACUACAAAUUUUUUAAGUUUCUUCUAAAUCAAGAAAUUUUCAACACAAUUUUCUAACGCCACAUUAUUCAUUUGCAAUAAAGAUAACCUCUUACUAAAAUGAGAGAGUUACUUUGAUGCUACCAAACGAAAUCCAAAUAUAGUCCAAGUCCUUGUGCUUACAAUUUUCUUCCUUUAUUUUUUGACAUAAAAGUUAAUGUUUAAUUGGUAACACAUGUUGAAGUGAGAUCUCAGUGGCGUUAGAUGCAAUUAUUUGAAAUGACAUUACUUCUUUUCUCUAUAAGGCAGUGUAUUUUGUGAACACUUUUACCAGCUUUUGACCACCAAUUCUAUCUUUAACUUUUCUAAAUAUAUUUUAAAAAUUUUACAUAACUUUUCUUAAAAUACCUAAAGAAUAUUUGAAGUGAGAUUGAAGAUUUAGUAUAUUAAAAUCGGACUGUAGUGUCUCUUUAGAGAUUUUACUUUAGUGUUUUCGGUCGAACUUGAAAUAUUUCGUUACAUUUACUUUUGCAAAUGUUACUUUUAGUUUACUUAUGUUCAACUUUUAUUUACUACUACGAGUGUUUCUCAUUUUGCAUAAUUUAAGUUCACAGUAUAUUAGUAUGCUAAGGAACUCAUAUUUGUUUUUUUUCUUAUUGUCUUCUUAUACGUUAUGAGCCAAAAGGAAUUCGAUUUUACAAGAAUUCUAAAGGAUCUUCCAAAACUUCAAAAUCACAAAACUCGGUUAGAAUCACUGAGUACCGAAAAUUGGAAAACUAAACCGGAGAAAUAGCUAAUUUUGUCAAUCUAAACCGUGAGACCUCAACAUAUCCAUGCAACCCUUUGAAGUGCCUCUUGGAUCAUUCCUGUUGUUGCUAUUUUUGUCCCUUUAUGCUGCAACCAACAUUAAAACUGUAUAUAUCAAAUUUCGGUUUACUCAUAUUCCGGUUAAUUAAUCUAAAUUAAGCUUGGAUUAACGACUGUACCUUGCAGUUAACGGUUAAGCAGAGUAAACCGUCUCCAGUUGACGAUUGUACUGAGUGAGAAUCCAAGUUAAGAUCACUAAUCACAUCCAUUAUCUCAAGUAAUAUUCCUUCUCUCCAAGCACAUCUAAGCUCAACAACCACCUCGUUACCUAAUGAACUGAUCCUUAAGUUAUCGGUUAGACCAGCAUAACCGGUAUCAUUCGGUUCAUCUUCUCCUACAUUCACAUCACUCCCCUUCCUCUUGCUGUUCAUACAAUUCGCCGAUGCUCUUUCUUCCUCAUCCUCCGGUUUCUUCCUCUUCAUCGUCGUCAUUCGCGUCUCUGUAUCCGCAGAUUCUCUACAAGAUUCCAAUUCUUGAACCCUUUUUUGAAGUUCUUGAAGAUACUCAAUUGUAUCAUCAAGAAUCGACACUUUAUCAAUCUGUGAAUCAGAAAGAGAAUCAAGCUUAGUUCCUUCAAAGCAUAAUAUUUUGACAUGUAAAACGUAAAGUUUCUUUCUAUAAUCAAGACGUAUACAUGAACCGUUACUGAAACAGAAUUGUUAGAAUCGGUUACCUUACUAAUUGAAGGAAUGAUUGAUCUCAAUGUCAUGAACCGUUCAUUCAAUUUCUCGCGGCGUUUCUUCUCGGACAACGCAUGGUUCCCGGUUUCCUCUGGUGUGUCUGGUAACAACUCUUCUUUCUUGUUCAUCAGAGGAACUUCGAAGAGUAUCUUCUUUAUCAUCUUCUGCGAUUUCUCUCCCAACGUUUUCACGGAUGAUGAUCGCUUCCACCUUGUGAAGCUAGACUGCUUAUCGAAGUUCUGAAACUGCGGUCCGAGUAUUAGCUGAUGCGUUGUUUUGAAAAUCGUCGAGAUCACCCCUUGGUAAUGAACAUCAUCGUCCAUAUUUACAUGGUUACUCUGUUCUUGAAUCUGACCUAACCGUUGAACCCUACUCUUCCUUGGAUCACAAGCAACUCGCCCGGUUGUUCCAACAAACGUUUGGGAAACGCAAUCGCUAGAGUUUAACGAUUGGUGAAUGCAGUUACUGAGUUCUUCACCAACAAAGUGCCAGCUUUGUACCUGAGACGCACCACCAUCGUUGAUGAACGAAUCAUGAUCCUCUGGUUCUUGCUCAAACCCGCUAGUAGAAGUUGUCGGAAAAGCUUCGGUUCUAAACACCGGAGUGUAUUUAUCGUCGCUUAAAGGAUCAAAAAUUUCUUGAUAGUCUGAUCUUGUCGAUAUUGUAGUAUAAGGAGUAGCUUCAAGGAACAACGUCUUCACGGAUUGUAUCACGUUCAAGUCCUCUUUAAUCUAAAAGAACAAAAAACAAUGAGUAACAAAAGUUUUUGGGUACUUUUAAGAAUAUUUUCAUAGUGUUGGGGCAAUUCUAGAAGACAUAGGCUUACAUGUUCGGUUGUGCCGAUCUCAAGGACUCCUCCAAGAAACGGGAAGCAAACCACUGUUUGAAGCGAAGCACUCUUUAAAGAGCAAAACGCCAAACGGAAAAAAAAAAGGAGCGUUUUAAGUUAUAGCGUUCUUGACUUACUUUAGCGUUUCCAUUUGCAAAAACUUACUUUAGCUAGAAGAGAACGAGUGAAGACUUUGCUAUCGGCGGUUUCAGCGUUACAAAGCCAUAUUGGUUCUCCGUUGGAUAAUGCUCCUCCUGGGAUUCUACCAAAAAGACGGAAAUACCCUUUAUGUUUUUAUCUCAAAUCUUUAUCUUAAUGGAAGAACAACAUUUUUGUACGACUUUUCUUAAAAAGUUAUGAAUAGCAACUGUAUCAUGUAAAUGAAGUAGAAACUUAUUUCCAAAAUUUUUAAAAAUAUAUAUAUAUACUUCAAAACACCACAAACAUAAAACUUUAGCCUGUAAAAAGGAUAAUUACAUUGUUAAUAAUUAAACUCGUCUUUAACAAAAAUAAACUCGUUCAUGUCGGAUUCUGAAGAAGCUCACAUGGAAGACGAGAAUUGAAGGAGACAAGCUAAUAAAGGGUGUUCUUGUCUUUUUUUUGUGAGACAAAAUAAAACAUACCUUCCUCAUAAAAAAAAUUGAUCUUUGGAAUUUGAUAUAUUUCACAACUUCUAAUAAUUGAACUAUAAAUAAAAUAACAUAAAACUAUAUUCUUGAAAAAUAUUUUUAUAUUUAAAGAUAAGUUUACGUGUUUUAAAUGUGAAAUGAAAGGAGUAUACUGUAUUAGAGAUGGAUUACAAGGAAAAGACGGAAUUACCCUUCACCAAUGUUGAAGACGAAAGACAUGCAUACUAAGUAAUACCACUCGGUGUCGGUGAGGUCCUCCGGUGACAGUGCGGCAGCGAAAGCUCGUCUAGUGACCUGAGAGCCACCGGAAGUUGAAGAUUCAGCGAGGGAGAGAGAUUCAUAAAGCUCUCUAAGCUGCUCACUUCUCUCAAGACCUAACUGGUCAACUUUGACUUCUGCUGCUUGAAUCGUCUUCCUUGUCUUAAUGUCUCCAUUGUAAUAUCCAUCUCCCCACUCCAACACUCUUCGUUCGGAGAAAACAAAAAUAAGCAAGAAAAAUUGGAUUAAUCGAGAAAACAGAACAAAAAUCGAAAUCUUGAAGCAAGGAUAAAGUUUUAUCUGAGUUUUGGAUUAAAAUCAAGAAUGUCUCAAAGAAAAAAGUUUAUUUUCAAGAAAAGUUAAGUUUAAGGAUAAAGAUUUGGAGAUUGUACCCUGGUUGAGAAGCAGAGACAGACCAGAAGAUUCCAUAACUCCAUUGAAUGUUUCGAACUGAAACUGCGAGCUGUUUCUUUAGAUUUUCCGGCACCGUUCUGUUUUCUCCGGUUGCCAUUGUUUCUUCAUCCCCAUGUAACAAACAAAGAUCAGAUAUUUUGUCAACAACAAAACUUUGUUGUCUUUGAAUAAAUCAGAAGACAAACAGAAAAAAAUUAAAGCAGAAGUGAUUUAAAGGUUAUGACUAGUCAUGAGUUAGUGAUUUUUACAUGACAUUGGUUUGGUUUCCUGAGGAAGAAGAAGACAACAAAACCCAGAAUAUAUAUUUAUUUUUUAAAACUUCUAUAAUGGGAAAAAAGAUUAAAUAUUUGUGACUUUGAAGUUACUAUUUGUUGUGGUUGGAUUGAGCUUUGAGUCGAGAGAAAAAGGACGGUGUCCGAAUCUCUUUAUGGAUACUUAUUUAGGUGUGUGUACACUGUAUAUUAUCACAAAACACUGAAUUUUACGAGGAAUUUAAAAUAUAUAUAUAUAUAUAUAUAAUAAGUGGUAAAAAAACAAAAGUAGUGUGUCUAUUAAGACCAUCAGCAGUGACAAAUGUGUUUGUGUGGGUGUAAGUAUUUUUUUAGUAUUAUAAUUUAAAGCAAAAGAGAAAAGAGAAAGAGAAAGAAAAAGGGAGAUAGAGAGAAAAAGUGUUACACCCGAGUGUAAAUUUACACCCGGAUGUGAAAAAAGAGACAAUUUUUUUGUUUUUUUAAUACCUACACCCCAAGACUCACACCCACCUGCUUAUGCCACUGCUGCUCUAACGCUCUUGAAUACGAUGUUCCAAGCACCACUCUCUUUUUGGAAAUUUAUUUUUGUUAAAGAAAGAUAUUUUUUCUAUCUAUAUAUACAUUUUUGGAUCACAAUUAGCAAAUAAAUCCUGAAGUUGAGAAGUAUUUACAAUGGCAUGCCAUUAGCAUUAAUUAUUUAGAUUUGUUUUAUUAAGUAAAGAUUUUUAAAUGAAAUUCAUUUCUCAUAUAUUUAGCAAAAGUCUCUACAAAAUCUUUCAUGAAGUAAAGAUUUUGAAAUCAAAUAAGUUUUCAACAAUUUACCAAAAAUCUCUACACAAUCUUUUUAAAAAUCUCGACUUAGUUAACUUCUGAUUUUUAUCUGCAAAAAAAAAAAAUUAAUAGUAACGAAUGAUGUAAAAAUCGGGAAUGUUGAUACUUGAUACUACAAUUUCUUCUACUUCUUUUUUUUUUUUCAUAUAAUGAAAAUUAUUUUUUAGGGAUAUUUUCUCAAAACCUCUAAAUACAACAAAGGGUUUCAAAAGAUAGCUUCUCUUUUGGCGGGUCGACACGCAAACCCGCAACUCUCUACGGGCUUAUCCGCAUGAACCUGAGACCCGUAGUAGAUAAAAAUAUUAUUCAAAAAAAAAUAACAAAUGAUGUUUAAUUUUACGGAACGGGGUUAUAUGGUGUAACGGGUUUAGAUCGAUAUUAAUAUUAAACAAUAUACUUUGGAUGAAAUCUUAGAAUUAAAAAUCAAAAUUUAAUUAUAAAAUCAGAAACACUAAACAAAAUAAACAAUAUUAACAAAACAAAUACAACUUAAAAUUUUGUUAAAUAAUUUUUUAGUUAUAAAAAAUCGAUCCGCGGUGUACCGCGGGAUAAAAUCUAGUCAAUGAUAUGUUUUCUAUCUUUUUUCCGUAACUAAUAAAUUAUGGGUCUUUAGACUUAAGUCCACAAUUUUCUUGGCUAUCGAAUUAAAAUAAGUAAAUUAGUAUUUUUUUCGUUGCCAAAUUUAACAUGAUAACAAUAUUUGAAGAAGUUCAUAAUUUUGUAUUCGAUAUGAUUCGGCGAAUAACUAAUCAAUCAGGUGAAGUGAGAAAAUUAUUCAAUUUAGUUUUCCCAAGUAUGCAAAUUAAAUUGCAAAAAUAUGUUAUACAGCUCAAGUCUCAAAACCUAAUUUCUCAUUCGAACUUUUAAGUUUUGACUAUUUUAUUUUUAAUGGAUUUGCUAUGUGAACAAGCACGACAAGGCGUAUGAGUCCUACAUUUUUAAAACUAAACACCCCUUAAAAAUAUGGUGUAUAGUCGAAAUCAAUUAAUUGAUUUAUUUGUAUUCAACAGUACACUCUAUAGUUUGGAAAGGGGAAAUCGGCUUUUUCAUACCCCCACAAUUGUUUUAUGUUAAAUUUAUACCUAAACUAGAUCGUUGUGCUAAAACAUACAUCUAGUAAUAAAAUAUAUGAAUUUCAUACCUACAUUUUAUGUUUUGUGCUAAAUCAUGCAUACGCUCUAAAUCUUGACUACGUGUAAUCCACGUGUGCAUGUACGUGGCUUUGGUGUAAGGAAAUUGGUUUUUUCAUACCUCCACAAAACCAAUAUGUGAAAUUCAUACAUGAAUUUUAUACUAUUGUGCUAAAACAUAUCCUAAAUAACCAAAAAUUUAAAUUUAAUAUAAAUCGAAAACUCAAACCGGAACCGACCCGAAAAACUUGGUUCGGAUCGUUAAUGGAUAUAACCAAAUUACCCUAUUGUGUCUUAUAUAUGUCUAUUUGUGGAUAUCGGUUCGGGUCUGGAUAUUAUCUGAUACCCGAAUGGGUAUCUAAAUAUCCAAAAUAUUUGUACUCAAAACCCGAACAUAUAAACGGUUAACGAAAACUACUUGGACAAGUAUCCGAAUACCCGAUAUAUUUAUAUAUUUUUGAGUAUUAUGUAUCCGAUUAUGCCCAAACUCUAGCAAAAUACUUGAAAUUUAACUCAAAUCUCCGAAAAACAAACAAAAUACUUUAAAUGUUUGAUUACAUAGGGUAUAUUACAAAUCCACGUAGAUGCACACGUGGAUGCCACGUAAUCGACAUUAAGGUCGUAAGCAUGAUUUUGCACAAAACAUAAAGUGUAAGUAUGAAAUUCAAAUGUUUCAUUAGUGGAGGUAUGUUUUAGCACAACUGUUGUAUAAAUUUAACAUAGUGUAAUUUAUCAUUCAUUGAAAUUUUGACCCAAAAAAAACAUUCAUAGAAAUAACACUUGUCAAAUCCAACCAAACCAAUUUGCCACCCACAUAAGCAAUGGUUUAUAUUGUUACUGGUCAAAUAUAUACUAUGUAGGAAGAUUUACUUAUUUUUAGAUAGAACAAAUUAAAUCCUAAUGGUGAAACACGAAGAAAGACAUGAAAUUAAUGUUAUGCCUCGAGGAGCUACCCUAUACAGACAGACAAGCUUCUAGUAUUGACUAAAAUACUUUGCAUGGUUUAACUAAAAACAAUAUACUACUAGUAUAUAUGUUCAUUGAGUAUAUAUAUAUAUAUAUAUAUAUAUAUAUAUAUAUUCUACAUUGUUUUCGAAUCUUCGGAAAUACCAUAGAACAUUUGUAUAUAAUUCAAAUAAUUGCUAGUAAUUAAUUUUCCAUGCACCUUCAUUUUAAUUAAUCGCAACCUCGUAAAUUAUUUGUAUUAAAGAUGCGUACACGAGUUAAUUAUAUAUGGAGUCAAACAAUAAGGUUAUCAAGGACAAGUGAAUUUGGGAUCUAAAGAUAAUGGAAGGGUUUAGUAUUCUUUUAUUCUUCUCCUGACUUCUAAAGGUAAGGGAUUAAUAACGGGUCUAGCUAUGUAACCUAUGUUGAUCAAAAUCACGAAAAAAUGAUAUUUAAACUGAGAUGAUUAAUAAAGAAGAAACCAAGAGUCAUUAUUAUCAUAAGCUAUGUGCAUGUCCUAAAUUAAAUCUUCGCAUCUCCCAAUAUUAUCACCCCUAACUAGGACUACUUGUCGUGUGUGUACGUUGAAAAACGGAGUAAGGCAUUGUUUAUUUCAUGUAUUUAUUGUAUAAUUUUUUAUUUUUUUGUGCAACAUAUUUAUUGUAUGAUUAUGAUGCAUUAAGACUUUUAACAAAAAAAAAAAAAAAUGAUGCAUUAAGACAUUGUUUAUGCGUCAUAUAUUUAAGAUAAACAUUGCAUUGUUUAUAUUUUAGUUACGGUGUUUCCGAGCGGCCAAGACCCAAGAAACACUCUUUUCUUGGAAUUUUUUUGUGUUAUGAAUAGUCUAUUUAUAUAUAGAUAUCACAUAUUCACAUUCAUCAAUAUUUGUUCUUAAACUUGCAAAACACUAGCAAAAUAAUAGAACAAAUUUAUAGUUUUUUAAAUCAUAAAUUAGAAAUUCAUAAAAAUCUUAACGUCUGUGUUUUCAAUAAUUUCCUAAAUAGUUUUUCUUUGCUGAUUUAUUUAUUUCGUUAAUAUCCUAAAAAAAAUAUGCAUCUAAGUUUUAUUUGAACACUGUCAACACACGCAAACAUUAGAUUCUGUAGCCUAUAGUCUCCGCUCAAAAAGGAUCAUUUUGACUUUUGCUUAGCAUAUAGAAUUUGACUAUAAAAUGUACGAAAAUACUACAAAUUCUGGACAGUACUUUUUAUGCCUUAAACAAAAAAAAAACAACUAAUUCUUAGCAAAAAAAAAAAAAAAACUAAUUAAAUAUACGCUUUAUUUUGUUACACAUAUUAACCAUUAACUAGUACAAGUAAUAAAAUUUUCGUUGUAAUAUUUAACAAGGCGCAGAUGAUGUAUUGUUUUAUCGAGACUGAAAAUACAAAUAAAUUAUUCACACAUUCGAAAUAAAAUAAAAAUAUUGAAAAAAAUAAAAUGAAAGAGAUGCUCGCAUUAAUUGAAUGGAACAGAGUCUACUGUUGAUUAAAAAAGAACGAUCGAACAGUCCAUUUUUUGGGGUCCAGUUUAUUUAAUUUAGCAUUAAUAACUUUGUCAGCGCGAGCCACUCUCUAUGAUUUUGAUUCCAUCAUAAAUUAUAAAACCAACCAAAAUUCAUAUCAAAAUUAAUUCCUUUAACCCAUUACUAAGCUUUGCUUGUAAAUAUAUGAGACCUGUAUAUAUUCGAUUUAUUGAAAGUGUCUAAGAAUUCAGAUUCACUUUGAAUAUUACCUUUCACGUAAUGCAUGUAUGUAGGAUCUUCUGUCAUUGUCUUAUAUAUUGUCUUUUUGCAUCAUAAAAAUAGAUUGACUUUUUACAUAUACGCACAUAAAUAAUAGAUUUCCAUUAUUUGAAUUCACAUCUUACAUAUAUAUAUACGUGUUUAAGUUAGAUUAUAAUUCAGUAGUUUCGGAUUUUUUAGCUAUGUUCCAUCAACCAAUCAGUUUGAUUUGGUUAGAUAAAAUUAACAAAAAAAAACACAAGAAAAUUAUCAAAGUAUGAAAAUGUAAGCACAAAUGUAAUUAAAAUUCGUUUUUACGUUUUAAACAGUCAAAAAGUAACUAAAAUACAACUUGUUCGUUAACAAAUGGUUUUUGCAUGAGAGAUAUAUGCAAACUAUUUAAUUAACUUAAUUUUUUUCCAUUAGAAUUAAAUUUUUAAUUAUUAGGACAUUGAAAUUAAAUUCCGUUAAAAUUAUUGACCACGUGUAUGGUCAUAAAAAAUUCUGAAUUCAUGAUUCGAUCAAUAUUACGACCUACUACAUACGAUAUGGUGUAAUUAACCACAUUCUCUUGCUAUUUAUCACAUUAAAAGUUAUAUAAUUUAUUCAUUAUUUACUCCACCACUAUUUUCCACGUUCUAUGGAUGAUCAUAGAUUCAUAGUGGAGCCACGCAUGAACAUGGCAAAAAUAGAAAUAUGCACAUGGCCAUAUAUACAUUAUCGACGUAUGUGUCAUUCAGGCCAAUCCAACUUUGUUGUGGUUCUUUCGUCCUCCUUUGACUUAAUUUAUUGACAAAAAGAAAUUACAUAUGAUUUAGGAUAAAUCAUAUGUUAUCCUUAAUCUUAAAUCAUUAACUAGCAAAAUUUUACUCAAUUUUAAUCAUAAAAGCAACUUUAUAAGAUAAUUAACACAUAUUUUCCAAUGAACAGUCCACAUAUAUAUUACUUAUGGUGGAGUUCGAUGUUUUUUUUUUUUUUUUUGACAUCUUUGAAUCGAUAAGGCCCGAUCUAUAGCCAAUCCUUACUAUGCGGGGUAACGCAACUUACUGGAGUCGAACUCCGUGGAGAAGGCGGAGUCAAGUGGACGUAACCACUUGACUAAAAGCACAUCCUCGUGGAGUUCGAUGUUUAAUGUAAUUAAAAUAAAAAUAUCGAUCAUAAUUAUAUAUGAUAAAAUUUUGAAAUCCAACAUCUGUAAACUAUAAUGCAUUAAAUAGAUAAUAUUUAUCUGAAUAGACUAGAUAAGAUUAGGCAUACUAGCUGAAAUGCUGGUAAGAUGGUGAAAAGGUUGAUGGAUAUCCGAUCCAGUUGGUCCGGGCCUUCGAUAUUUGGGCUUAAAUGGGCCGAAACUAAAUUGGGUCGAAUAUAAAAAGUUGAAAUAUCUCCAAACAUAAUUUUGGAUGGGAAAAAGCGGGAAGUCGAGAGAGUACCUUAUUUAUAAUUUUCUAUAACGAGGGUAGGGCCCACCAAGACCAUAUUAGCGUAAAGCAAAAUCAAACAAUUAGGAAAAAAACAUUUUUUCGAAAUUCGAACCGUAAUUAGCCUUUGUUUUUCUCGGAAUCUAAAAGGAAAAAAAAAAUAGAGAGAAAAAAAAGGAGGAACAGUGAGCAAAAUCGUGCGACUGGGAAAAUUUUCGAAUUUUUCUUCUCUUCCGGCGAGGGAUUCAAACUUCCGCCUCCAAUUUCUCGCCGUGAAUCUGAGUUUUCUUCGUGGAAUUUCAAUAAAAUCAGUCGUCAUUCUCCGGCUUCUUGACUCUCGAGAGGUUUAUCUACAAGCUUCUUCUCCUCAUGGCCUUUUAGGUUCGUAUCGUUUAUUUUUUUUGCCGUCGUCUAUGUGUUACAAAAGCGUAGAUGGUUUCUUAGGGUUUUUUUACUGGAUCUGCGUAAUUUUGGUGGAAUUUAAGCUGAAUGUAUGGGUUGAUUUGGUCGACUUUUUGGUUAUUUGCUAAGCGAGAUGUUGAAAUGUGGGAACAAACGACAUCAUUGUUGAAGCAAUUUUGGGCUGUUUGUCUCUCUAAUUGGAGGACUAGUCUUAUCUGAAAUUGAAAGCAUUUGAUUGGCAUUUUAUCAUAGGAGGGUUUGGUGUCGAAUGAUGAAGUAAGGUCUUUCAUGAUUUACCAUGGAUUAAGAAGUGUAUGUGAAGACAUUUAAUACUGAUGCUUACUUUUGUUAUUGGCUUACUGCUUCAUUUGCUUUAGGGUCUUCUCACUACUAUAAUUCUGGGAAUCGCGUAACCUCUGAGUUGAAAUGAGCAGUCAUCUGGGACAGGACGCCAAUAUGAAUGGGGUCUAUGUUCGAUCAGAUGUGUCUAGCAUGCUGAGUUUUGACGGAUCAGAUAGUCGUGAAAGCGAUGAUAGUAAGAAAGGUAAUCUUUUCAAACGCUAAUUCAUAGAAAUCCUCUAAUUUUAUCUUAAGAUUGAAACAAGUUUUUGGAAACAGUUGUCUUUCAGAACUUUAGAGUUAUGACAGAAUUAUACAAGCGAAUAUGGAAAAGUAUGAUUGAUUAUCUUGAAUGAGUCGUUUCUCUUGCUUGAUAUGGUUUGUAAUAUUCCAACUGAGCUUUAGCAGAAAUGAUUGCCUCUCAUAUUAGGUGUAGGGGGAAAUGGGAUGAUGUUUUUUGUCCUCACUAUUUGUCUAUUUCUUCUUAAUUUCGCCCACAGGUCAUCAGAGUUUGGUGGAGUGGUUAAAUGAGACACUUCCUUAUCUGAAGUUACCAUGGGAAGCUUCAGAGGACGAACUGAGAGCAUGCUUGAGGGAUGGAACGGUCUUGUGUAGCCUUUUAAAUCAGCUUAGUCCUGGGUCAAUGAGAAUGGUACUUGUGAAUUUUCAUGACCAUUUGGCUUAUAUAUCUUUUGUUUUAAAAGCCUUUAGUUAUGUGUCAUUUUUCACUUACUUAUCUGCUGCUAGACUCACCCUCUUUGGUUAUUCUAUAGGGAGGCAGCUUUGAGCCUGCUAGUGUAAAAAUUGAGCGGUUUCUGACUGCUAUGGAUGAAAUGGCCCUGCCUAGGUUCGAAGUUUCAGACAUAGAACAGGUUUGUUAUGUUUCAUGGAUAUGAUUCUUCGUUUCUGUGGAAAAAAUUGAUUUCUUAAAUAUGGAAAGACAUGUUGGUUUAUAUAGAAUUAUCCCAUGUCAUAUAGAUAAAGUGGUUCUAGGGUUGCCACUUUUGCUUUAAUGACUCGAACCAAUUCAGUGUAGGUAUAUAUUUAUGUUAAAAUCAGCCUCGUUUUAGAUACUUCUGGCCUUCUGGGUGCAACACUUUUUCUAAUCAUGGCUAUUUUCUGAUUUGCUAUUUUGAUGAUACGAUUGCAUAUCUUUUCUUCUCUCUGUCUUUUUUUGUAUUUCUCUAUUGAGUUAUGACUCCUAAUAAAAAGUAAAAAGCAGGGAGAUAUGGUGCCAGUUUUACAGUCCCUUAAGGCGCUUAAAGCAAGUUUUUCCGAUGGUAGUUAUGAUAAGAACUCCCUAGCUGCAAGGAGGAGGUGGAGCUUGCCAGAGGACCACUCAGAUUCAAGAGGAGAUGACCGCAACUUUACUGAUGGAUUCCAGUCGAAGGAAGGAUCUGAGAUUGAUAUAUCUGAUGCUAAAAUUUCGGAAUUACUUAAAUCAAACAGUUUACGAGUAAAGUUUUCUAACAUAAUUUUAGUCAAUUGUGUCCAACCUCUCAGCUAUUGCCUCGGUUUCUGAUUCAAAUGGCAUUUCCUUGGCAGAAUGCUCCUACUAGGUCACUGUUUGACAUGCUGGACAAGCUUCUAGAUAAGAGUAUGACGAAGAUGAAUGGACAUGUGUCUCAUGUAAGCCAAAGACGGAGCUACUCAUAGCACCCUUCUCUUGAUUCAUGUUUUCUGGGUUUGCCUAGAUUUUCAUUCCUUGGUUCAUGGAAUAUCACUUCUUAUUCUCCAUCAUGUUUCUCACUGUUUUCGUGUGUUGUUCAGGCUAUGGCAUCUCUCUUGAGCGCACUUGUGCAAGUGAUUGAACAGAGAAUCUCAAAUCAAGCUGAUAACCUAAAGAAUGUAAGAUUACCAAAUUCCUUUCUUCCUUGAUUUUUCCCGUAAUGUAUAUCAUCCUUCUGACUAAGUCAUGAAAUAUGCUUAUGGAAUGGGUGCAGCAAAAUAUACUCUUUCGGGUACGUGAAGAAAAAUACAGGUCAAGAAUAAAGGUCUUAGAAACCUUGGCAGCUGGGACAACACAGGAAAACGAGGUACUAUUGUCUCUGGUUCCAAUGUUUCUCUUCAUUUUAUUUCUGUUUCGCUUACGGAAUACUGAUUGGUAUUGCUAUUUUUUGUUGUAGAUUGUUACGAACUGUAUGGAGCAUAUAAAGGUAAUUGAUAUUAAUAUACAUCUCCUUCAUACAUAUUUCGCUUUUAGUUUUGUUCUUGCAUCUGGAAAAGUUAGUUUACAUUAAGCACAAUAGUUUUGUGCAUAUUCCCUGUGGAAUAUAACCUCUAAACCAAUCCUAGAUUUCGAUAAAGGUUCAGUCUGAGAGAUCCUAUCAUAAAACUAUUGUGUGUACGCCUCGGACUUAAUAACGCGACUUCAUACAUCAUUUUUCAUUUGGAUUGUGCAUUAGAUUUAUUUAACACAGAUCUUUGCGGUUGUGCUCUGUAGAUUUAUUUAAUCGCAACCUCGUAAAUUAUUUGUAUUAAAGAUGCGUACACGAGUUAAUUAUAUAUGGAGUCAAACAAUAAGGUUAUCAAGGACAAGUGAAUUUGGGAUCUAAAGAUAAUGGAAGGGUUUAGUAUUCUUUUAUUCUUCUCCUGACUUCUAAAGGUAAGGGAUUAAUAACGGGUCUAGCUAUGUAACCUAUGUUGAUCAAAAUCACGAAAAAAUGAUAUUUAAACUGAGAUGAUUAAUAAAGAAGAAACCAAGAGUCAUUAUUAUCAUAAGCUAUGUGCAUGUCCUAAAUUAAAUCUUCGCAUCUCCCAAUAUUAUCACCCCUAACUAGGACUACUUGUCGUGUGUGUACGUUGAAAAACGGAGUAAGACAUUGUUUAUUUCAUGUAUUUAUUGUAUAAUUUUUUAUUUUUUUGUGCAACAUAUUUAUUGUAUGAUUAUGAUGCAUUAAGACUUUUAACAAAAAAAAAAAAAAUGAUGCAUUAAGACAUUGUUUAUGCGUCAUAUAUUUAAGAUAAACAUUGCAUUGUUUAUAUUUUAGUUACGGUGUUUCCGAGCGGCCAAGACCCAAGAAACACUCUUUUCUUGGAAUUUUUUUGUGUUAUGAAUAGUCUAUUUAUAUAUAGAUAUCACAUAUUCACAUUCAUCAAUAUUUGUUCUUAAACUUGCAAAACACUAGCAAAAUAAUAGAACAAAUUUAUAGUUUUUUAAAUCAUAAAUUAGAAAUUCAUAAAAAUCUUAACGUCUGUGUUUUCAAUAAUUUCCUAAAUAGUUUUUCUUUGCUGAUUUAUUUAUUUCGUUACUAUCCUAAAAAAAAUAUGCAUCUAAGUUUUAUUUGAACACUGUCAACACACGCAAACAUUAGAUUCUGUAGCCUAUAGUCUCCGCUUAAAAAGGAUCAUUUUGACUUUUGCUUAGCAUAUAGAAUUUGACUAUAAAAUGUACGAAAAUACUACAAAUUCUGGACAGUACUUUUUAUGCCUUAAACAAAAAAAAAACAACUAAUUCUUAGCAAAAAAAAAAAAAAAAAACUAAUUAAAUAUACGCUUUAUUUUGUUACACAUAUUAACCAUUAACUAGUACAAGUAAUAAAAUUUUCGUUGUAAUAUUUAACAAGGCGCAGAUGAUGUAUUGUUUUAUCGAGACUGAAAAUACAAAUAAAUUAUUCACACAUUCGAAAUAAAAUAAAAAUAUUGAAAAAAAUAAAAUGAAAGAGAUGCUCGCAUUAAUUGAAUGGAACAGAGUCUACUGUUGAUUAAAAAAGAACGAUCGAACAGUCCAUUUUUUGGGGUCCAGUUUAUUUAAUUUAGCAUUAAUAACUUUGUCAGCGCGAGCCACUCUCUAUGAUUUUGAUUCCAUCAUAAAUUAUAAAACCAACCAAAAUUCAUAUCAAAAUUAAUUCCUUUAACCCAUUACUAAGCUUUGCUUGUAAAUAUAUGAGACCUGUAUAUAUUCGAUUUAUUGAAAGUGUCUAAGAAUUCAGAUUCACUUUGAAUAUUACCUUUCACGUAAUGCAUGUAUGUAGGAUCUUCUGUCAUUGUCUUAUAUAUUGUCUUUUUGCAUCAUAAAAAUAGAUUGACUUUUUACAUAUACGCACAUAAAUAAUAGAUUUCCAUUAUUUGAAUUCACAUCUUACAUAUAUAUAUACGUGUUUAAGUUAGAUUAUAAUUCAGUAGUUUCGGAUUUUUUAGCUAUGUUCCAUCAACCAAUCAGUUUGAUUUGGUUAGAUAAAAUUAACAAAAAAAAACACAAGAAAAUUAUCAAAGUAUGAAAAUGUAAGCACAAAUGUAAUUAAAAUUCGUUUUUACGUUUUAAACAGUCAAAAAGUAACUAAAAUACAACUUGUUCGUUAACAAAUGGUUUUUGCAUGAGAGAUAUAUGCAAACUAUUUAAUUAACUUAAUUUUUUUCCAUUAGAAUUAAAUUUUUAAUUAUUAGGACAUUGAAAUUAAAUUCCGUUAAAAUUAUUGACCACGUGUAUGGUCAUAAAAAAUUCUGAAUUCAUGAUUCGAUCAAUAUUACGACCUACUACAUACGAUAUGGUGUAAUUAACCACAUUCUCUUGCUAUUUAUCACAUUAAAAGUUAUAUAAUUUAUUCAUUAUUUACUCCACCACUAUUUUCCACGUUCUAUGGAUGAUCAUAGAUUCAUAGUGGAGCCACGCAUGAACAUGGCAAAAAUAGAAAUAUGCACAUGGCCAUAUAUACAUUAUCGACGUAUGUGUCAUUCAGGCCAAUCCAACUUUGUUGUGGUUCUUUCGUCCUCCUUUGACUUAAUUUAUUGACAAAAAGAAAUUACAUAUGAUUUAGGAUAAAUCAUAUGUUAUCCUUAAUCUUAAAUCAUUAACUAGCAAAAUUUUACUCAAUUUUAAUCAUAAAAGCAACUUUAUAAGAUAAUUAACACAUAUUUUCCAAUGAACAGUCCACAUAUAUAUUACUUAUGGUGGAGUUCGAUGUUUUUUUUUUUUUUUUUGACAUCUUUGAAUCGAUAAGGCCCGAUCUAUAGCCAAUCCUUACUAUGCGGGGUAACGCAACUUACUGGAGUCGAACUCCGUGGAGAAGGCGGAGUCAAGUGGACGUAACCACUUGACUAAAAGCACAUCCUCGUGGAGUUCGAUGUUUAAUGUAAUUAAAAUAAAAAUAUCGAUCAUAAUUAUAUAUGAUAAAAUUUUGAAAUCCAACAUCUGUAAACUAUAAUGCAUUAAAUAGAUAAUAUUUAUCUGAAUAGACUAGAUAAGAUUAGGCAUACUAGCUGAAAUGCUGGUAAGAUGGUGAAAAGGUUGAUGGAUAUCCGAUCCAGUUGGUCCGGGCCUUCGAUAUUUGGGCUUAAAUGGGCCGAAACUAAAUUGGGUCGAAUAUAAAAAGUUGAAAUAUCUCCAAACAUAAUUUUGGAUGGGAAAAAGCGGGAAGUCGAGAGAGUACCUUAUUUAUAAUUUUCUAUAACGAGGGUAGGGCCCACCAAGACCAUAUUAGCGUAAAGCAAAAUCAAACAAUUAGGAAAAAAACAUUUUUUCGAAAUUCGAACCGUAAUUAGCCUUUGUUUUUCUCGGAAUCUAAAAGGAAAAAAAAAAUAGAGAGAAAAAAAAGGAGGAACAGUGAGCAAAAUCGUGCGACUGGGAAAAUUUUCGAAUUUUUCUUCUCUUCCGGCGAGGGAUUCAAACUUCCGCCUCCAAUUUCUCGCCGUGAAUCUGAGUUUUCUUCGUGGAAUUUCAAUAAAAUCAGUCGUCAUUCUCCGGCUUCUUGACUCUCGAGAGGUUUAUCUACAAGCUUCUUCUCCUCAUGGCCUUUUAGGUUCGUAUCGUUUAUUUUUUUUGCCGUCGUCUAUGUGUUACAAAAGCGUAGAUGGUUUCUUAGGGUUUUUUUACUGGAUCUGCGUAAUUUUGGUGGAAUUUAAGCUGAAUGUAUGGGUUGAUUUGGUCGACUUUUUGGUUAUUUGCUAAGCGAGAUGUUGAAAUGUGGGAACAAACGACAUCAUUGUUGAAGCAAUUUUGGGCUGUUUGUCUCUCUAAUUGGAGGACUAGUCUUAUCUGAAAUUGAAAGCAUUUGAUUGGCAUUUUAUCAUAGGAGGGUUUGGUGUCGAAUGAUGAAGUAAGGUCUUUCAUGAUUUACCAUGGAUUAAGAAGUGUAUGUGAAGACAUUUAAUACUGAUGCUUACUUUUGUUAUUGGCUUACUGCUUCAUUUGCUUUAGGGUCUUCUCACUACUAUAAUUCUGGGAAUCGCGUAACCUCUGAGUUGAAAUGAGCAGUCAUCUGGGACAGGACGCCAAUAUGAAUGGGGUCUAUGUUCGAUCAGAUGUGUCUAGCAUGCUGAGUUUUGACGGAUCAGAUAGUCGUGAAAGCGAUGAUAGUAAGAAAGGUAAUCUUUUCAAACGCUAAUUCAUAGAAAUCCUCUAAUUUUAUCUUAAGAUUGAAACAAGUUUUUGGAAACAGUUGUCUUUCAGAACUUUAGAGUUAUGACAGAAUUAUACAAGCGAAUAUGGAAAAGUAUGAUUGAUUAUCUUGAAUGAGUCGUUUCUCUUGCUUGAUAUGGUUUGUAAUAUUCCAACUGAGCUUUAGCAGAAAUGAUUGCCUCUCAUAUUAGGUGUAGGGGGAAAUGGGAUGAUGUUUUUUGUCCUCACUAUUUGUCUAUUUCUUCUUAAUUUCGCCCACAGGUCAUCAGAGUUUGGUGGAGUGGUUAAAUGAGACACUUCCUUAUCUGAAGUUACCAUGGGAAGCUUCAGAGGACGAACUGAGAGCAUGCUUGAGGGAUGGAACGGUCUUGUGUAGCCUUUUAAAUCAGCUUAGUCCUGGGUCAAUGAGAAUGGUACUUGUGAAUUUUCAUGACCAUUUGGCUUAUAUAUCUUUUGUUUUAAAAGCCUUUAGUUAUGUGUCAUUUUUCACUUACUUAUCUGCUGCUAGACUCACCCUCUUUGGUUAUUCUAUAGGGAGGCAGCUUUGAGCCUGCUAGUGUAAAAAUUGAGCGGUUUCUGACUGCUAUGGAUGAAAUGGCCCUGCCUAGGUUCGAAGUUUCAGACAUAGAACAGGUUUGUUAUGUUUCAUGGAUAUGAUUCUUCGUUUCUGUGGAAAAAAUUGAUUUCUUAAAUAUGGAAAGACAUGUUGGUUUAUAUAGAAUUAUCCCAUGUCAUAUAGAUAAAGUGGUUCUAGGGUUGCCACUUUUGCUUUAAUGACUCGAACCAAUUCAGUGUAGGUAUAUAUUUAUGUUAAAAUCAGCCUCGUUUUAGAUACUUCUGGCCUUCUGGGUGCAACACUUUUUCUAAUCAUGGCUAUUUUCUGAUUUGCUAUUUUGAUGAUACGAUUGCAUAUCUUUUCUUCUCUCUGUCUUUUUUUGUAUUUCUCUAUUGAGUUAUGACUCCUAAUAAAAAGUAAAAAGCAGGGAGAUAUGGUGCCAGUUUUACAGUCCCUUAAGGCGCUUAAAGCAAGUUUUUCCGAUGGUAGUUAUGAUAAGAACUCCCUAGCUGCAAGGAGGAGGUGGAGCUUGCCAGAGGACCACUCAGAUUCAAGAGGAGAUGACCGCAACUUUACUGAUGGAUUCCAGUCGAAGGAAGGAUCUGAGAUUGAUAUAUCUGAUGCUAAAAUUUCGGAAUUACUUAAAUCAAACAGUUUACGAGUAAAGUUUUCUAACAUAAUUUUAGUCAAUUGUGUCCAACCUCUCAGCUAUUGCCUCGGUUUCUGAUUCAAAUGGCAUUUCCUUGGCAGAAUGCUCCUACUAGGUCACUGUUUGACAUGCUGGACAAGCUUCUAGAUAAGAGUAUGACGAAGAUGAAUGGACAUGUGUCUCAUGUAAGCCAAAGACGGAGCUACUCAUAGCACCCUUCUCUUGAUUCAUGUUUUCUGGGUUUGCCUAGAUUUUCAUUCCUUGGUUCAUGGAAUAUCACUUCUUAUUCUCCAUCAUGUUUCUCACUGUUUUCGUGUGUUGUUCAGGCUAUGGCAUCUCUCUUGAGCGCACUUGUGCAAGUGAUUGAACAGAGAAUCUCAAAUCAAGCUGAUAACCUAAAGAAUGUAAGAUUACCAAAUUCCUUUCUUCCUUGAUUUUUCCCGUAAUGUAUAUCAUCCUUCUGACUAAGUCAUGAAAUAUGCUUAUGGAAUGGGUGCAGCAAAAUAUACUCUUUCGGGUACGUGAAGAAAAAUACAGGUCAAGAAUAAAGGUCUUAGAAACCUUGGCAGCUGGGACAACACAGGAAAACGAGGUACUAUUGUCUCUGGUUCCAAUGUUUCUCUUCAUUUUAUUUCUGUUUCGCUUACGGAAUACUGAUUGGUAUUGCUAUUUUUUGUUGUAGAUUGUUACGAACUGUAUGGAGCAUAUAAAGGUAAUUGAUAUUAAUAUACAUCUCCUUCAUACAUAUUUCGCUUUUAGUUUUGUUCUUGCAUCUGGAAAAGUUAGUUUACAUUAAGCACAAUAGUUUUGUGCAUAUUACCUGUGGAAUAUAACCUCUAAACCAAUCCUAGAUUUCGAUAAAGGUUCAGUCUGAGAGAUCCUAUCAUAAAACUAUUGUGUGUACGCCUCGGACUUAAUAACGCGACUUCAUACAUCAUUUUUCAUUUGGAUUGUGCAUUAGAUUUAUUUAACACAGAUCUUUGCGGUUGUGCUCUGUAGCUUGAGAAAAACAGAAUAGAAGAGAGAGAAAGAUCAGAAGAAAAAGAUGUGGUGAGACUGAGAAAGGAAAAAGAGCGCAGUGAUGCUGAGAUUCGCAAGCUGAAGCAGGAACUCAAAGUAGUGAAAGAAACACAUGAAAACCAAUGCUUGGAUUUAGAAGCAAAAGCACAAAAAACUAGAGACGAGUUGGAGAAGAAGUUAAAAGAUGCAGAGUUCCAUGCUGUAGAUUCAAGUAGGAAGGUGAAAGAGUUUGAGAAGUUGUGCCAAUCUAAAUCUCAAAGAUGGGAGAAAAAAGAGUGCAUCUACCAGAACUUCAUAGACAACCAUUCUGGAGCCUUGCAGGUUGACUUUAUAGAUAGUACUGUAAACGUUGGCUACCUAUGGUAGUUAUUUAAAUGAUAUAGAAUCUGUGAAUUAUGCAGGAGUUGAAUGCUACUUCGUUGUCUAUAAAACAUGAAGUCUUAAGGACACAGAGGAAAUACUUUGAGGAUCUAAAUUACUACGGUAAGAUUCACUGCUGACACUUACUGUCUAUGAUUGCUUGGCCUCAAUGAAUUCAUUUCAGAGUACACGGCUUCUUAUUUAUAAUCUUUCUCCUAGGUUUGAAGCUCAAAGGAGUGGCUGAUGCAGCGAAAAAUUACCAUGUGGUCCUUGAGGAAAAUCGAAGACUGUACAAUGAAGUGCAAGAAUUGAAAGGUAAAACUCUUAGUCAAUGUAAUUUACUAAUUUCUUUGUAUUGAACCAUUCAAGAAAUGACUUUAGUUCUUUCUCUUGCUAUCUAGGAAAUAUCAGAGUAUAUUGCCGGAUUAGACCAUUCCUUCCAGGGCAAAACAGUAGACAAACAACUAUAGAAUACAUUGGUGAGAACGGUGAAUUGGUGGUUGCGAAUCCCUUUAAGCAAGGGAAAGAUACGCAUCGGUUAUUUAAAUUCAACAAAGUUUUCGAUCAAGCAGCAACUCAAGGUUUAAACGUUUUUCCCUCUUAUGUGUUGUUAGUCUUCUCCUCUAUAAUAUAUGAUAUUCAUAUUUUGAAUCUGUUAUCUUAUGCAGAGGAGGUUUUCCUAGAUACUCGACCGUUAAUUCGAUCCAUUCUUGAUGGCUAUAAUGUUUGUAUAUUUGCCUAUGGUCAGACUGGUUCUGGAAAAACUUAUACAAUGGUAAAAUGACAAGCUUGAUUUUGUUAAUAAUAUGUUUUCACCAAGGAUUAUAAGUUUUUCUAACAGACAUAUUUCUAUUUUGCCAACACAGAGUGGGCCAAGCAUUACUUCAAAAGAAGACUGGGGUGUCAAUUAUAGAGCUUUGAAUGACUUGUUUCUCUUAACUCAGAGUAGACAAAACUCUGUCAUGUAUGAAGUUGGUGUUCAAAUGGUGGAGAUAUAUAAUGAGCAAGUUCGUGAUAUACUUUCUGAUGGUGGUUCUAAUCGAAGAUAUCCUUUUCUAAUCUAAUAUAGUGACUAAAUAUUUUUUGGAGUAGGUACAUUCAUGCAUUUAUAUUUGCUGUUCCAUAGAGAAAUUGGUAUUGGUCUAGUGCUAUUAGGUUUUACUAAUGUUCUGUGGUUGCGUUCAAUACAAAAUUUCCUUAACUUGCAUACAUUAGGGAUUUGGAACACUGCCUUGCCAAAUGGGCUAGCAGUCCCUGAUGCAAGCAUGCAUUGUGUGAGAUCAACAGAAGAUGUUCUUGAACUGAUGAAUAUUGGACUAAUGAACAGAACCGUGGGUGCUACAGCUCUCAAUGAAAGGAGCAGUAGAUCACACUGGUUUGUAUACUUUCUUCCUGAACUUGUAUUACCUUCCUUAUGUUAUUGUCUAAUUUUAAGAAGACAAUGUUGGCUAUCAUCUGCAGUGUUCUUUCUGUCCAUGUACGUGGUGUUGACGUGGAAACCGAUUCAAUUUUGCGGGGCAGUUUGCAUUUAGUUGACCUUGCAGGAAGUGAGAGGGUUGAUCGCUCUGAGGCAACCGGAGAGAGACUUAAGGAAGCUCAACAUAUAAACAAAUCAUUAUCAGCCCUUGGCGACGUCAUCUUUGCUUUAGCGCACAAAAACCCUCAUGUUCCGUACAGGAACAGCAAAUUGACUCAAGUCCUUCAAAGUUCUUUGGGUAAUUAUCACUCUUUGAAGACAAGAUUGAGAUUUGUUUAUAUUGCAUAAAAAUGAUGUUUGCUUUAUGUUGUUGUCUUGUUGAUUCCCUUAACUUUUCUUUCUUGUUUCUUAGGUGGACAGGCCAAAACUCUUAUGUUUGUCCAAGUCAAUCCUGAUGGAGAUUCUUAUGCUGAGACCGUAAGCACUUUGAAAUUCGCCGAAAGGGUUUCUGGUGUGGAGUUAGGUGCUGCCAAAAGUAAUAAAGAGGGUCGAGAUGUAAGACAACUCAUGGAACAGGUUUGUAUUCUCUAUCUCGCUCUAUAUCUCUCAAGAUUUAAUUUUGGCUAUUGAAAGUCAUAGAGAACAAAGGUAUUCAUAUGAUAUUGCUUGAUAUAACAGGUAUCGAACUUGAAGGAUGUAAUUGCUAAGAAAGAUGAAGAGCUUCAAAAUUUCCAGAAGCUAAAAGGUAAUAAUGCAACAUCUCUGAAACGUGGACUAAGCAAUUUAAGGUUGGUAGGGCCUUCAUCACCUAGAAGACAUUCUAUUGGAGCUUCACCUAAUGCUCGACGAGGAAAGGCCCCUGGUUUAUUCGGAAGAGGAACCUCAGAUGUUGACAACUGCUCCGAAUAUAGCAGCAAACAUUCUGAUUCUGGUUCACAACAAUCAUCUGACGAACGUAAACAUCGAAAGGAUUUUCACCAACCAUCUAAGUUUGCUGGAGGGGCGAAAGGAAUUGAUUUUGAUGAUGAAGAUGUUGAACUCGUAGGCCUUGCAGAUGCAGAUUCUGAGGAAAGAUUGAGUGAUAUCUCUGAUAGUUGUCUUUCAAUGGGAACAGAAACUGAUGGAUCCAUAAGCAGUGCAGUGGAGUUGACUCUAUUCCCUGAAACUGCUAAGCCUCUUGAAAUAACAGAACGACCUGAAGCCCAAAUGACCUCUGAGAAACCCGAGAAAUCAGUGAAAAUGGGGAAAACUGAGCCAAAAGACAGGUUAGUAUCCUCUACUAGCACACAUUAAUAGAUCAAUCUGAAUGCAUUUACAGAUUCUUAUCAUUGUUUUUGUUUUGGGAUUUCAAAAGCAGAACUAAUAUUCCAUCGAAGAUUCCAAAGCAGACCUUAAAACCACCAGGCCAAACCAGACCGUCUCGUCUGUCAAUUGCCACUAGCUCCUCCUCUAAGGCUUUAACAGGUAAUGUCUCUGUCUCUAUACAUCAGGCUCAAAUCACAGCCUACUUAGAUUUCUAUGAAAGAUCAUAUGAAGUAUAUACUUUGCUUAUACAUGAGUCAUCUAAUCUUCUUGAUUUGCCUCAGGUGCUAAAAGACCAACAAUUAGCACUUCAUCUUCAGCGAAACCACUUAACAGAAGGCGGUGAAGACACAAGAUUUAUCUUGAGGGCUGGAAGAAGAAGCUUUGUUAUGGAUUUGAUCUGAUGGUGUUUGGUAGCUAAUUGUGUAACUAAGCAUAUGAUGUCUUAUUGUUCUUUUUUUGUUAACCUAAAUCAAACAAAUACCUUAACUAAGUUUUCAUAUGUCUUAGACUCUUAGUAUUAAUUUAAUCCUGUCGAAGUAACCUGUGAGGUUUUUCUCUAUGAUUCUAAUCACCUAAUGUUGCGCACGAUAUCACUGGAGUAAUACAUCACUCUAUCUGUAUGGGCCACUUAUUUUUACCGAAAAUGAAUUUCUCUAUGAUUCUAAUCAACAUACUUUGCCUAAUCAAGGUAAUAAUAUCUAUCUACAUGGAAGGAUAGGGAAACUUGAGCAAACCAGAAUUAUGGAUUAACUGGAACCAAUCAAGACUACUUGAUUCUUCUUUUUCCCUUUUGCUGAUUCUUAUGGCACUAUUGUGGUCGCCCAAUUUUGGCCUCAAUAGCUUAAGACCUUAAAGAGCAAAAUCAUUGGGAUGUGUUAAAGUUUCAUUUCAUACUAACUAAUUGGUACAACUGAAUCUCUCAAAAGCCCUACUCUAACUAACUGUUCUUAUUCUUAUGUAUACAUUUAACACAUUACACACAAACUUUCACUGGAAUGGUAAGGUUUAAAUAAUUUUGUAAGUAUAUUGCAAAUUUCUCUACGGUUUUCCAAAGAAUGUCUUGUAUCAUUUGAUAGAUUUGAUUCCUAUUUCAUGAGUAAACUUACAAACUUAUGAUAACAAGACAAUGAUCCCAAAUCCAUGAGUACAGCUGCAAACUUCUCAUAACAAGACAAUGGGUCCUAAAUGACUCCUAAUCCAUGAGUAAAACAUCAAACUUAUGAAAACAAGACCAUUUCCUUAAUCAUGAGUAAAUCUUCAAACUUACAAAAACUAGUACCAAGCUAUUUCAAGCACAGUGAUUAUAAGAUUUGGAUUCAAUUAAGUUCCCAUGCCAUAAUGUAAACGAGAGAAGACAAGACAAAAAAAGCAGAACACAAGUAGCAAGGCACAAGUGAGUAGGACGUACCAUAGAGAAACUAGAUCAAGACAGUCACUCUUCACAAUAAACACUAAGACAGCAUAUCAAAAAAAGCUCUUGUCCAAUUUACCAUUGGAUAUCAUAUCAGCAAACCAUUUUCAUGGUGAAUGCAUCUCCUCUGAACCCGUUGCUUCGCAUCUCCGUCAUAAGUUCAGCUGAUGCAGCUAUUUCACCAGCUCUAAGACAUCCUCUGAUUAGUAGAAUGUAUGUGCAGGCAUUUGGUACAUGUCCAUUGUCCUUCAUUUUUCGGAACAACGCAUUUGCUUCAGAAACUGCACCUAUUCCACAGAAUCCAGAUAUCAUUAUAGUGUAUGUUUGAACAUGAGGUUCUACACCAUCGAUGGGGAGACUACAAAAAAAUCAAUAUCAGUUUGGCCUCUCUUCUUUGCUAUUUGUAUGGUUGGCUCCAAGUUCAUGGAGAAGCCGGUCAUUUCCAAGCAAAAGACAACAUAUGGCAGUCGCAGAAACACUUAAUCAGAAUACUGAAGCUGUAGAUAUUAAGUGGAAUCAAUCGCAAUUCCAUCAUCUUAUGGAGAGAAAUCACAACAUCGGGACGAUUCAUUCUGACGGAAGCAGUAGCAGAUUCAGAUCUCAAAACCCUAGCCAACAUUUUGUUGUUUCGCCUGAUUUUGUUUUUUUCCUUGUCGAUCUUUCUAAAUUCUAACUCUGAGUGAGUGAAGAAGUGGGUGAAGCCCAGAAAACCGGUAAUUUUAAAAUGAAUCAUAAAUCUCAGCCGGUUCGAUCUGAACGAUUCUGAAACCGGUUCGUUUUGACCAAUGUAGUGGUAUAGUGAAAAAAAUUAAAUUAUAUUCCAAUAAUAAAAAUUUGGAAGAUAAGGAAAAAAAGAAAAGAAGGAGCGUGCAAAUAAAAGUCACAGUCGCGACCCAAACUAGCGAAAAGCUUCGAUUUCCAGCGAUCCUAGAGUUGGAUUUUUAGGGUUUGAAUCUUGAGAACGAAGAUGUAUUCGUUAUCGAUGCAAUUCUCGCUUUUGCAAUCACCAUCUCGACCUUCUUCGUCUUUCUUAGCCAACCAUGAACCUAAACUCUCUACUUCUUCCUCCUCUGCGAGCUUCCCCUUGAAGACUUGGAAGAGUACCGGAAGUGGGAAUUUGAUGGUUCUGAGAGUUAAAACUUAUGGUUCUUCUUCUUCUGAUUCCUCUCCAGAGUCCAAUGGCACUCGGGUAAAUUGCAAUUGCAUUUUCUCGAUUGAUAUGAAGAUGAAAUUGCAUUGCUUAAAUCACUCGAAUCGAAUAUUACUAAACCCUAAUCUUGACCGUCUCAGCCCAAAAGCAGGAGGGAUAUUCUACUGGAGUAUGUUCAGAAUGUGAAGCCUGAGUUCAUGGAGAUGUUCGUUAAACGUGCCCCUAAACAUGUAACUUUACUCUGCUUCAUUUUCUCAAAAGACCAAUUUUUUUAAAAAAGUUAGAGCUUAUGAUUGAUUCUGCGUUGCUCCUUUGUUAAUUGGGGAUAUUAAUUAGGUGGUUGAUGCAAUGAGACAAACUGUGACAAAUAUGAUUGGAACGCUGCCACCGCAGUUUUUUGCGGUUACUGUCACCUCUGUGAGUGUUUUAUGUAAGCGAUACGUUUUCACAAGUUGUGUCCUGUGUUUGUUACUUGGGUUUUGUGUGUUGAAACUGCGGACUAUGGGUUUAUUAGGUUGCUGAGAACCUUGCACAACUGAUGAUGAGCGUAUUGAUGACUGGAUAUAUGUUUAGAAAUGCUCAGUAUCGUCUUGAAUUGCAACAAAGUUUGGAGCAGGUUGCUCUUCCUGAACCACGUGAUCAAAAGGUGAACAUUUUCAGGUUUUUAACUUCUGUUUUUCGCGUGGCCUGUAACCGUGUAAAUGCCGAUGAGAGUUAGUUUGAUGCUUCAAUCUUGACAUUUCUGUUUCUUCUCUGUCUCCCUCUGAUAAGCCUUGUGUUAAGCUAGUGUAGCAGCAUUUUAAUUACCCCAUGUAACUUGUGGUGGAUUUUAGCCGCGUUAACAGCUCAACAAAUGUUGUUGAGGCGGUUAGUUAGAGAGCUAACUGGUUCAAAGUAAGUUUAGGCAGAAUGAGUUGUGGGUUAUUCUGGUUAGGUCUCAGAUUUUGGUUUGGGCAGUGGUCGAGAGUUAGAGACUUCUCGCGUUCAUGCUGUAGUUCUUUGGUGACUUGAAUAAAGCUACUUAAUAUGUGUGUCUUAAGUCUGAUCCAUCAGAUUAUAUGUGACACUGGUUUUCUAUUCUGAUUAAGCCAGGGGGGUGAGGAAGACUAUGCACCAGGAACUCAAAAGAAUGUUUCAGGGGAAGUGAUCAGGUGGAAUAACAUUUCUGGUCCUGAAAAAAUUGAUGCAAAAAAGUAUAUCGAGCUUCUAGAAGCAGAGAUCGAAGAACUCAACCGUCAAGUGGGGAGAAAAUCUGUGAAUCAGCAGAACGAAAUUUUGGAGUAUCUAAAAUCUCUCGAACCCCAAAAUCUUAAGGCAUGAGAAUUCAUAUAUUAGUUUUUAAUUUUUCUUCAUCAAUUGUUUCCAAUGCUUUUCUCAGUGGGAAUACUUUGAAUUUGUAGGAGCUUACAAGCACUGCAGGCGAAGAUGUUGCCGUGGCCAUGAAUACAUUUGUCAAGCGGCUUCUUGCUGUGUCAGACCCAAAUCAAAUGAAGGUUCUCUAAUAAUAACCUCUUCAGCUGAAACUUGUUCUGAGUUGUGCCAGGUGUAUAUAAAUGUGAUUGUGAAUUGACUGAUAUCAAUGUUUUGGUGAUUACACAGACGAAUGUGACAGAGACAAGCGCAGCGGACCUUGCAAAAUUGUUGUAUUGGUUAAUGGUAGUUGGAUAUAGCAUUCGCAAUAUCGAGGUUCGGUUUGAUAUGGAACGUGUGCUUGGUACUCAACCGAAGCUUGCAGAGCUGCCUCCUGGUGAAAUUAUUUGAACACUGUAAUGAAUAAAACCAGGGCUUUUUUUUACCCGAAGAACUCAGAUUUCACUUGUCAAGUAAUUUUUAUUGUAAAAUUGAUUGAACUUACUUUGAAGAGAAGACAGAUUUUGCUUUGAGAGACCUCUUCAGACUCACAAAUAGCAGGCAAAGCUUCAACUAUGAUCAUUAGACUUGCAUAAGGAUAUUUAAGGUCUGAUCAACAAAAGAAUACUCGAUUCACGGGUUCCGAAUAGAUCUAGAUAUCCACUUUAGUAAAUUUCUAUGGAUCGAAUUGUGAGCUAACAUGUAUUCUGAUUUAACUAUGUAUGUACUCGAUUUUGUGAAAUGCCAACCUAGUGUGCUUUUUGAUAUUCAUCCAAAUGCUGGUCUUUAUAGUCUUAAGAUUUAUAAUUCUUAGAACAAUCUUAAGAUUGAGAAAACUUCUACUACACAUAAGACCGAUACAUCGACAACAAAAUGUUAUUACAAAAAAAAGAAGAUAGAUGGUGAUUUGGUACGAAAAUCAAAUUUCUUUUAUCUCUGCAAACCAUACAAUUGUGUUUUUGACAAAACCAUUCAAACUAAAUACCAAAAUCAACAAAAAGGAUACCAAAAUCAAUUCGGCUACUACAAAAGGAUGAUUCUUUGUGACAGACACUUGAUCAUCGAAUACCACCCAAAGACUUUAGAGCACGUUCAAUACAAUUUUUCUCUCUCCCCUAUGAUUCCCUAAUUAACAAUGCUUAAAUACACAAAGGAAAUAACUUAACUAGUAUGGAACGUGAAUGAGUACUGCGAGACAAUCCCACUAAUAUAGGAGAACACAUGAUGCCAUAUCUCCAUUCAAUCUUUCACCAAGUCAAAGUUGGUUUACUCUGGUACGGUAAUGACCUUCUCAUCCCCCAAAAUGGAGAGAACAAAAAUAUAAACCGAUAGUUACAAUCCUAAUUACAUCACUAGAUUUGAUCAUAAACCCAUUAGUAAACCUAUCAUGAUUGCAAUAAAGGUUCUCCCAAAUAUAUCAUCUCCUGUAAAACCAAAAUUCAAAGCCAUAUCACAUAACCAUAGGGUGGGGAAAGGAAAAAACGGACCAGACCAGAUAUUAUAUACUGCUACUCACCUUUUGUUGUAACGCCAAAACUCGUUAGGUUUGGUUGCAAAGCAGAGAUGUCAUACCUCAGAAGACAUUUAGGAAAGUAGAUCCGAGCCCAACGAGAUUGGCUGCAACACUCGGAGAAUUUUUCGACUACAAGCCCCAAGCAAACGGUGCAGUUACUUGGAUCAAGAUCAGGACUACACUGGGCCAUUGCCUCUAAAUCAUACGAACCUUCCAGUUGAGUCACAUGUUCUUGAUCUUCCACAAAAUAUGGAACCGGUGACGAAGAAGACGAGGAUGCUCUGAAGACAAGCUUGUCUAUUUUUCCAGGAAGUGUUUUAUUAAAAAAAUGAGGAGAAUUCAAAGAAUCAUUCCGAUAGUAACUAGAGGAUGUAGGUGCAUCCUCUACGAGAGAGAAGAAAGAAACGUCCGAGUACCGAACCAUACACUCGUCAGAGAACAUGAAAGAUGUGUCAUGAGAAUCGCAUGAUUUAUCCAUUCCUAAAGUCGCAGAAUGGACACAGUUUGAACAAGAUGUUUUGCUUAUGUUUCCUAUGCAUAGGAACAUGCCAUAGACUGUAUUUGGGCUAAGACCGGCCGUGGCAUUGAAGUAAUAGCUUCCGAGGGAGGAACGGUUGCGAAGAGUUGAGAGGACGGUGUUGCGGUUUGAUUGAUAAGUGUCGGGUAAUUGGUUGCAAUCGGUUAGAUUUUGAGAAGGUUGGGACAUGGCCCCAAGAGAGAACAAGAAGAAGCAAAACAGAGCAACAUCAAUGGUUCUUGUCAUUUUUCUUAUGACUUAUGACAAGGAAUAAACCAGAGCACAUAGAUUUAUAUAAUGAAACAGUUACCUUUUUUUAUUUUAAUUCUUUCAAAUCUGCAAUGUCCACACAUAACGUGGUAGACAAAUUCAGAGGUAGAAUAUGUAUAUAACUAUUAUUAUUUUUAGUUGAAUUUCAUUUUCUUGUAUAUAUACAAACGUUGAAUAUCUUUGCAGGUCCAUUAAAUAAGAAGAUGUAAGACUAAGCACAAGUCUUGUAUCAUUUUUUAUUUUUUUUGGCAAAUGAAGAUAUUCUGAGUUUUACACCCAGCAAAGUGGUAGUGACUCAGCAUGAUAUAGGAGUCACACCAGGGAUCGAGUAACGAUAUUGGUACCCCCGAGUGAGGAGGAAAAGUGUUUCCUCUCGACUUCCAUCGAGUGUCGAUGGUUGGCUGACAUUGAAGAUAUUCUGAGUUUUAGAACCAUAAUGUUUUUGUUUUUUGGACCACAGACAAAAGAAAAUCCAACGGCUGAGAAAAGAUUAAUUCAUAAAUUUAAGAAAAAACUAUUAUUACUUUAUUAGGGAACUCAUUAAUGAGAGAUAUAGGUGUUUUAGGUUUUUUAACUUCUUUUUUUUCCCGUCAGCAAGGUGUUUUAGGUAUCUUGAGUUUUAGAUUUGUAAGUAAAGUUACAAUUUUAUGGAGAAGAUAACAAAUAGAAACCUUUAAAGUAAAAAUAUGGACAUGCAUCAAACUCCAUUUUCUUAUUAACUUUCUAAUCAAUCCAUACAAACAGAAUCAAACCUAAUUUUUUUUUGGGGGAAAAUAUUAACAUUUUUUUGUGAACAUAACACACAUCACACAGAUUAAACGAAUUUUAUUUCUUUCACAAAUCAUUAUUUAUAAUCAAUCCAUAAAUCAUCACAUUUGUUCACAAAUCCACAAGUGGCAACACCUAAGCUGCCAUUUUAAAAGCAAUCCUUGCAAAUAUUUAGUUUCCUGCCACAAAAAAAAAAACACAAAUUAGAGCAACCGUCCCUAUCAAUAGUACAGAAUGUGGGAAACUUAGGAAUGAUUAUAUGAUUUAAAGUUCUAAACUAUACGUACAAAAUCAUAUAUCUUUGUUUUCUAAAAAUCGACGAAUUAAGUGUUCAGCGGCGGAGGCGGUUGCAUAAGAGGAGGCGGCGAUUGAGGCGGCAGAGACAGAGGAGGCGGAGACAACGGAGAUAGAGGAGGCAGAGACGAUGGAGACGGUGCUGGUGAUGGCAAAACAAAGGUUCUAUACCUCAAAAUACAUUUAGGAGUGAAAAUAAGAGCCGAACUUGGUAUACCGCAACAAGUUGAAACUGUUGCAUACGCAAAUCUGAGGCAAAUGGUACAGUUUGAUGGAUCAAGAUCAGGACUACACUGAAUCAUUGACACUAAAUCAUAUGAACCCUCUAACUGAGUCACACGUUCUUGAUCCUCCACGAAAUAUGGAAUCAAAGUUGACGAAGAGACGUUAGGAAUCAGUUGGUCCAAUUUAUUGGAUAGGGUUUGGUUAAACCGGUUUGAGUUUGGAGCAGAACGAAGAGAGUAAAGAACGAUGACUGGUUUACUUUCAAAUUCGGAGAAGAAGUAAACAUUUGAGUAUCGAACCAUACACUCUUGGUAGUAUAUGAACGCUCUUUUGUUAAGAGUACAGUUUGUAGCGAUCUCGAUUGUUGCGGUUUGGACACAGUCGGAGCAAGUUGUUGUGUUGAUGUCUCCUCUACAGAGGAACAUGCCAUAGACUGUGUCGGGGCUAAGACCGAUUGUGGCAUUUAAAUAGUGUACGAGAGGGGAAGACAAGCUGAGAGCGGUGAGUAGGAUGUUGCGGUUUGUUUCGUAUGAACUGGUUUGUGUGAAGUUGUCGGAAGGAUUGCAGAAAGUGUGCAUGUGUUGAGGUUGGGACAGGGUUUGGUGAGAGAACAACGAAAAGAAAAAGAAAUAAAACAGAGGAGUGAGUGUAAUGAUGAUUCUUGCCAUUUUGUUCUUUGUUGUUUAACAAAACAGAGGAGAUAGAUAAUUUAUAAUAGAAAGAAAAGAGCUAUUUUUGUUGAUCUAUUCAAGAUAUUAUCUUAAUAAUGAUAUGGUAUACCAAUUCAGAGGAAGAAUAUGUAAAACUAUCAUUUAGUAAGACAAAAUCAUAAUAAGGUCGACGCAAAAUAGAAUAUAAUGUUUAUCUUAGAGCAAAACAGAGACUUAGUCCUAAAAAUUUAUGUCAAAAACCUUAGGAAGUAUGAAAGGUUGUUAUCUAUAUAUAUAUAUAUAUAUAUAUAUAUAUAUAUAUAUAUAUAUCAUUGAUAUGGCUCUAAGGCCUUUAUAUAGUUUUUACAAGAUGACCUAAUUGCUAAAAACUUAUACACAACAAGAAAAGGAGAUAUGCCUUUAUUCAAGUUGGAGUGUGAAGAUCACAAACGUCCAAUUUGAAAAGAAAUUGCUCAAAAUGACGUCCAAGACCCUGGCCACCGGUUCGUUCGUACAUAGGCACUGGCAAUUGUUCCGUUUAUAUAUAACUUUAUCAAGAAUAAAAUGAGUCGGGUUAUUUUAUAUUUUUGUCACCGUAAUAAUUUGGAAGAUAGAGAACAAAAUGAUAGGGUUAAAGUGGAGGACAGAGAACAAGGUGAUAGGCUUGAAGUGCUAGGAUUAUUACUUGAGCAACAAGAACCAUAAGUAACUUGGACAGGAGCUUGCGCUCGAAUUUAGAUGGUGUAGGACAGUAGGAGCAGCAGCAAGUGCACCAUAAUUAUCCAAUAUACAAUACCCAAAUUCUGAAUAUAUAUAUAUAUAUAUAUAUAUAUAUAUAUAUAUAUAUAUAUAUAUAUAUAUCUAUCUAUAUUAUUAAUUGGGAAACAUUGGAUAAUAAAUAACCUUAUAAAGGGUAAAGAAUUACAAAAAAUGUCAUUGGUUUUUAAUGUUUUUAAAUAACUUCAUUAAGGGUACAAUAGUAAUCACAAAAUUAAUAUAUUUAAAUAAAAAAUAGUUUAAUUCUUUUAAAUACUUAUUAAUUUCCAAAAAAAUAAACUAAUUUUCUCUCUCUUAUUAAUUAUAAACGAAAAUUUGAAAUUAAUUUUUUAAAAAUUGUUAACCAAUAGGAAUUGAAAAACUAAGAUUUGAUAUCCAACUAAGAUUUUUUCUAAACCAAUCCUAAUAGACUAUUCUAUAUCAAAAAUAAAAAUAAAAAUAAUAUCAUUUUAAUUCAAAAUUAAAAAAAAACUAUCAUUUAAAAAGAUUUAUCAAUGGAGGAUUUUAAGAUUGAAUUUGAAAUUUGGUAAAAAAAUUAAAUGCAAAUAUUUUAAUAUUCAGUUUUGUUAUAAUAUUUUUAUUACAAAUUUUGAAAUAUAAAACGAAAUUUUAUUUCAUAAUUUCUAAAAAACCAUAUUAAAUAUUAACAAAUAUUUAUUUUUACUAUGAAAUAAACUCAAAUAAUAAUAAAUUUUAAGGAAUUAUCAUAAUGGUUUUCGUUUAGAGCAAUUUUCGAAAAAAUCUAAACAAUAGAAUGUACAUAUUAAUUUUGAGAUAUUUUGUGUUUUAUUUUUUUCUUUUCAACUCAGAUCUUCCUUAAAUAAUAACUAGAUGCAAAUAUUAUUUAAGGAAGAUUUUAAGAUUGAAUUUGAAAUUUGGUAAAAAAAUUAAAUGCAAAUAUUUUAAUAUUCAGUUUUGUUAUAAUAUUUUUAUUACAAAUUUUGAAAUAUAAAACGAAAUUUUAUUUCAUAAUUUCUAAAAAACCAUAUUAAAUAUUAACAAAUAUUUAUUUUUACUAUGAAAUAAACUCAAAUAAUAAUAAAUUUUAAGUAAUUAUCAUAAUGGUUUUCGUUUAGAGCAAUUUUUGAAAAAAUCUAAAUAAUAGAAUGUACAUAUUAAUUUUGAAAUAUUUUGUGUUUUAUUUUUUUCUUUUCAACUCAGAUCUUCCUUAAAUAAAUCCAUAAUAUAUUGCACACAGUUUUUGAAAUUAUGUAAACUAAUUAUAUAUUUUGCAUUCAACACAAAUUAUGCAGCAAUAGCAUAUCCCUUUUAUAGAUGUGUCUAAAACUUUUAUUUUUAGUCCAAAUAUUGAACUAAUUAUGAUUAAACAAUGAAAAGAAGAAUAUGCAAAAUUUAGCUAAGGAAAGAAACAUUAAUAAAUUUGUUAAAAUAUUUGUAACUUUAACAUCAUACCUAUUAAUCCGCAAAACUCACAGUAUGUAUUUUAUGGUAUUUUAAAGUAAGCAAACAAUAAUUUGGAACAUGGUUUUAAUGGAAUGAAAUGAGAAUAAGAAUUACGAGACGGGAUGGCAGGGGAACAUAAAUUAAAAAUCAAACUUAAUACUCAACUGGUAUGAGUUUGUGUUAUGAGCACUAUAUAAAAUAAAUUUGUUUACACACAUAACCUUAUACGUACGUUUUUAGUUACAAUUUAUGACAGAUACGGGACCGUAAUAUUUUUAUUUCACGUAUACGAGACGGGUUAUGGGACGAAAAAUUUAUGACAUAUACAAGACGGGAUAGGUUUCCUGUUCCAAAAUAGUUACGCCUAGCUAAUAUACAUGAAAUAAUCCAAACUAAACCGAAUAUGUAUCCUAUUUAACACAUGUAUUCAAACUGUUAUAAAUGUUUUGAAUAGUUUAGAAAAUAAAAACGUAACAUCACUUAACUUUUGCAACUAAAUAAUAUCUUAAUUUUAUAUUAAAUACAAUUUCACACGUACGUGUAGGUCCGAAUCUUAAAAUAUAACUAUGCACUAACAUAACUAAAUUUCGUUCAUUACCUAACUUUAUAAUAUCUAUAUUAUUACAAAGUUCACUAACACAACAAAAUAUUUUAUAUUUUUAAAAUCUAUAUAACAAUUUCUAAAAAAAAUAUCUCUGCACGUAUAUGUGGAUCUAGAUCUAAUACACUAAAAUAUACAUCAUAAAAACAAUAAAAUAAUCUAUAUUGUAUGAAAAUUUGUAAGAAAUGUUUUUGAAAUAUGAAACCCCGCACGUACGUGCGGGUCAGGAUCUAGUAUAUAUAUAUAUGUGAAUCUCCUUAAUCUUUUUUUCUUAUUCGUUUUUAACAAACUAAAGAAGACAUUAAAUUGGUUAAUCAUUUGAUAACUUUUGUGGUUAUUAUAUAAGUUAAACCGCAUAUAUGAUCUCCUUCAAUUUUUUGUUGCGAGUCUCUCUCGUUUUGGGUGAAGCAAAAUGGGGUUUAUACGACCAUUUUUUUUAACAGAAAAUGAUCCGGAUUUUUUACCAUCCGACUAAUCAUGAGUAAAAUUGAUUUAUAUAUUUACAUAUAAGUUAAUUUAUUUGUAGGUCAUCACACAAUCAUAAUAUUGUUUAAUAGUCUUUUUAUCCGUGCACAAUGCGGAUUGAGUUCCUAUUAGACAAGAAAAUGACAUAUCACACGUCACACACAAUCUUGGAAUACAAAUAUAAUCUUCAGAAUCAUUGGAUUGGAUCAUAGACCCACAAGUGCUAACACCGAAGUUGUCAAGGCUGUAAUGAAAAUUCUCCUAAACAUUUCGUUUCCUGCAGUAAAAAGAAAAGCCAAACACAUAAACGUUUUAGUUCCUCAGUCGAUUAUCUUCCUGAUAGUUGGAUUUUAUCAUGACCGAGUUUAUUGUUCUCAUUGACAAAUAAAGUUUGAUUACUACACAAAAAGUUGCGGUUUCAGCUAAAAAAAUUAAAACAUUAUUUUUUUCACGUAAACUUAAACAAGAACGUAAACAAAAAAAAAAUAUCUACUCGAGUGCAUAGUAUUAGCUCGCUCACCUUUCAUAACGUUAAUAGACGAUGAGCCGCUUGGUGACUGAGAAGUUGGCAAACCGGUUGUGUCAUACUUCAAAAGACAUUUAGGAAGAUUGAACUGACCCCAACGAGCAUUGGUACAACAGCCUGAGAGACUAUUGACCACAAGUCUCAAACAGACGCCGCAAUUUGCUGAAUCAAGAUCAGGACUACACUGAACCACUGUGUCUAAUGUAUACGAGCCCUCUAAUGCAUUCACACGUGAUAUAUCCUUCUCGUAAUAAGGCGUAGAAGCAGACAAAGAAGACUUUGAUCCUAUGAGGAUAAUUAGUUGCUCUACCUUAUUGGAUAACGUUUGUUGGAACGAACUAAAAAUAGAAGUAGGAAACGAAGCGACAGAGUAUCUAGCGGCGUAAGGCCCGUCUUCUACGAGCGUGAAGAAGGACACAUUGGAGUAACGAACCAUACACUCCUCGUAGUAUAUUAGAGCAGUUUUUCUGGAAGUGCAGUUAUUUUUAGUGAUUUCUACGGUUGCGGUCUUGACACAGUCCGAACAAGAUGUUUUGGGGAGGUCUCCUCGGCAGAGGAACAUGCCAUAGACUGUGUCGGGGCUAAGACCGAUUGUGGCAUUGGAAUAGGUUCCGAGGGAGGAAUGGUCACGGAGAGAAGAAAGUAGGGUUUCACGGUUUGAUUUGUAUGAGCUGGUUUGUGUGAAGUUGUCGGAUAAUUGGUCGUCGCAGAAAGUGUGCAUGUGGUGAGGUUGGGACAUGGCUUGGUGAGAAAAUAGAGAGAAUAAGAAAAAGAAGCAAAACAAAGGAGCAUUGAAUCUGAUUAAAAUUGCCAUUUCUUUUUAGUUCUUUCUUGUUUAUGAAGGUAGAAUAAACCGGAGCAGAAACCUAGCCAUUUAUAUAGGGAAAGAUCUUCUUUUAUUUUAAUUCAUUCAAAUAUAUAACGUCCUAUACCAAUUCAGAGAAAGAGAUACAUAUAUAUAUUUGUUAUUGUUUCAGAAUAACAAUCAGAUGAUUUCAUCAAUAAGAGUUGAAUCCAUAUACAUAUCUGAACAACACAUCAUCUUUUAUAUAUUAUACUUGUUCUUGAAACGUAACUAUGAAAAAAUCAGAAAGUUAACACACUAUUUAGCUUUGUUAGCGUAUGAACCAAAACAUGGACUUGUUCUAUACAAUUUUAGAAGACAAAGAUUUGAUGCAAAGAAAAAAAAUCCAAGAGUCAAAGUCGUGCAUGUUCACAAACAAUACAAACUAUAAUUUGGAAUUGCCGUGGUAUUACAAAAAAAUAUGACCAUAAUCAUAUUAUAUAAAAAAAUUAUAAAAUCAUUUAGUUGAACCUUUUUAUCUUUUCGGACUUCAUUUUAAAUAUAUUUAGAGGUUUUAUUUCUGUUAAUAUUUCGAGGUAUUUGCAUUAAUUACAUAUGUUGAAGAUCUAAAUAGCUAGCUAGAUACCUCCAAUGAAGAUGUUCUAAGUCUCCUAAUUAGAGAUCUUUAAAAUAUCAUAUUUUUUUCAUAAUGAAAAAAAUCAGCAUACAUUUAAUAAUUUAUCAAUCAAUAUAACGUAUUAAUUUUAUUAGAUAUCAUUGGUACUCUAAACCCUAAUUUAAAAAACAUCUCAGAAAUUAGGAACUCUAACCAACCAUUUAGUCAUUGAUUUUUCUUCUUAACCCUAAUUUCAAAACACUUCAGAAAAAGCUAUUUUCACUCAUUAAAAUAAGUCGAUUUUUUUUUUUGGGUGAGGCUAGUCCAUAUAAUUAACUGCCUCAAGUUCCAAGAAAACGACGUGGAUCAUACAGUUUUCGUUAACUUAAUUUGAUCAUCAAUAACCAAAGUAAUUAAAUAUUACGUCAGAUAAGUUUUACCAUAUUCACAUUUUUACGUAUACUGAUAUUUUAUAUAUGAUUUGUUGAGUGUUUAUUAUUGGAUUUGUUUUAUGAAAGGCGUUUUAAGGUUGCACAAGAAGACACCAAUGAGCUGGAAUCUUUGGCUAUCUCUAGAGAAAUAAAAGAUAUACCAAUUAUUGUUGCUGAUAUUAUUUGUAUAUUUUGUGUUUGUGUUUAAGUUCGAUAAUUUGCUGUGGGUUAAGAAAUUUGCAAAUUGCUGAUUAUCUGAGAAUUGUUUUUUUUCUUUCUUUCUAAAAUUUGUUUGUUUGUUUGUAUGGUUCAGUUAGACGAGUAAUUUAGUGAAGUUGUGAAUGGUUAAAAUGUUGGGUGAAUAUAUUCAGUACAGGUUAUGAUAAAAUACAAAAUGAUUAGAAUUACUACUGAAUUAGUAUUAACCGCCGAAAUUUGAAUUGCUUCAGAUGACGUUGGUCAUACUGUAUUUGUGUACGACAGUGUUGAUCAUGUGGUCCUAGUCAAUCCUUUCUAUUUUAAUACGGGUUUUUGCCACUAUUAGUAAUUUUACUUCGUGAAGUGGCUUGAAUAGUAGCACAUGAAAUAGUAUUAUUUUGGACUUUUUCCUUUUACUUCUUUGUUUGUUUCUUUUGUUAGUUAAGCAAAUGGAAUUAAAUUUUUAUAAACUGAAAAUUCUUCGAAAGAUUAAUUAUUCAAAGUGGGAAUAAGAAAAUAAGUUUAAAGUUUCAAAGAAAAGAGAUACGGUAACCAUGUAAAUGAUAAUGUAUUCGAUAACUUGUAUAUAUUCCAUUUAAUUUUUUUUUUUUUUUAGUUAGUAUAAGAAACUGGAAGUGUUGACAACUAAUUAACAACCUUAAAAUACUUCAAUUGGGAUCACUUGGACAUUAUAAUACUAACAAUGUUUUCUUUUUGAUCAAAAAUUCUACCAAUAUAAAGGAGAUAUUUAAAAUAACAAUAAAGCCACAAUUUUUUUUUGUUAGUUACAUACAUGGAUGAUAACACAUCAACAAUAUUAACACAAACCAAUAGAUUAAAUGUAUGAUCAACAUAUUAACAAAUAUUUUACACAACUAAAAACUUUAUUGGAUACAAAUAUUUAUGUAAUAUCUUCCACUUGUAAACUUAUAACCCUAAGUACCAUUUUAUGCUUUUUCGUUUUCAUUCUUAGUUUGACUUUUAAUUUCAUAAUAGAUGUAAGAUAAUCACCCCUCUAUAAUAAUGAUCAAGACAAUAUUUUCAAGAAUAAUAACAAUUUCUUUCAAAAGUCUAACAAUGACAAAGACGAAACCACUAGAUUUCGAAAAUGCUAGUAUAGCUAGCUGUUGAAAUUAUGAUUUCGUGUUAAAAGAAUGUUGACAUUAUAUAUAUAUAUAUAUAUAUAUAUGUGGUGUUAGUUACUAGAUUAAUAACUUGACAGAAAAGAAAAAAAAAACACUAUCAAGUAAAAAAUGGAUAUGUAUCAGACUCCAAUCUUUUUUUAUUGUUCAAUCCAUUAAUGCAUACAUGAGAAUCAACAUCACAUAUUUUGUAGGAACCAUAUUAACAUCUUUUGUGAUAUUGGAUCUUAUGAACGUAACACAUCACACAGAUUGAAGAAAAGCAAAUUAUUACAAAUCAUCAAUAUUUAUAAUCCAUGAGUUCAUGAAAUUAGAUCACAAAUCCACAAGUGCAAACAUCAAAGCUGUCAUUGUGACAACAAGUCUCCCAAAAAUUUCAUUUCCUGUCACAAAAAUAAUAAAAAUAAUUAGAGCCGGUUGAUUAAUAAUAUUCUCUCCGUUUCAUAAUAUAAGUCGUUUUAGCUGUAAGCACGCAUAUUAAGAAGAUCUACUUUUAAAAAGUUCAGCCAAUCACAACAAAGACUGCAUAAUAUAAAUAAUUAUAAAGUAUUAAAAUAAUAUAUAAUUUGCAUAGAAAUUUGGAAACGAUGUGAAACAAAAUUUGUUCUCCAAAACGACUUAUAUUAUGAAACGGAGGGAGUAUGAUUUAAUUAGGUAUAAUAAUUAAAUAUUAAAAAACAGGCUGACCUUUUAGAACGUUAAAGGAAAACGACCCGCUAGCAGGUGGAAAGUUCCGUGGCGGCGUGAAAACCAGCGGGGGCGGUGGCGUCUUUGGUAAAGAAGGAGGCGGCGAUGAUUGAGGCAGUGGAGACCGAGGAGGCGGAGGCGAUGGAGAUGACGGUGGAGAUGACAAAACAGAGGUUUGAAACCUCAAAAGACAUUUAGGAGUAAAGAUCUUAGCGUAACUUGGCAAACCGCAACAAGUUGAAAUUCUUAAGAAGGCAACCCUAAGACAAACGGUACAGUUGAAAAUAUCAAGAUCAGGACUACAUUGAACCAUUGACUCUAAAUCAUAAGAACCUUCUGAUUGUGUCACACGUUCUUGAUCCUCCACGAAAUAUGGAAUCAAAGAGGACGAAGAUAUGUUGAAUAUCAGUUCGCUGAAUUUUUCAGUAAGUGUUUGAUUGAACCGAGUCGGGUUUGGAGCAGAGCGAAGAGAGUAUAUAGUGAUGCUUGGUGUGAAUUCCAAUUCAGAGGAGAAAGAAACAUUUGAGUAUCGAACCAUACACUCCUCGUAGUAUAUGACCGCUCUUUUGUUAAGAGUACAAUUUGUAGCGAUCUCAGUUGUUGCGGUUUGGACACAAUCUGCGCAAGAUGCUGUGGUGAUGUCUCCUCUACAGAGGAACAUUCCAUGGACUGUGUCAGGGCUCUGUGGCGUUUGAAUAGUGUCCCAGAGAAGAAGACUCGCGGAGAGAGGCGAGUAGGGUGUCGCGGUUUGUUUCGUAUGAACUGGUUUGUGUAAAGUUGUUGUUAGGAUUGCAGAAAGUAAACAUGUGGUCAGGUUGAGACAUGGUUUGGUGAGAUAACAAAGAGAAGAAGAAGAAGUAAAACAGUGGAAUAGUGAGGGUAAUUAUGAUUCUUGCCAUUUUGUUCUUUGUUGUUUGAUAAAACAGAGGAGAUAGGAAUUUUUAGUAGAAAGAAGAUAACUUCUUUUCUUUUUGUUGAUUUAUUCAAUAUGAUGUCCAACUAAUGAUGGUAUACCAAUUCGAAGGAAGAAUAUGUAAAACUAAUAUAGUUUUCAUCCAUGAUAGCUAUAUAUCUUUACUUAGACAAAAUCAUAAAGUUGACACAAUUGUUUUUGUGUUUCUUAAGCAAAACAUAGACUUAGUCCUACAAAUUGGAAGAAAGAGUUUGAUGCAGAGAGUAAAGAAAUUACUGCAGACUCAUGGCGGCGAACGGGAGAAGAAUGUAACCUUGAAUAGGAUAGGCUUGAAGUGCUGGAGUUGUACCUUGAACAGCAAGAGUUGUACCAAACAUCAUAGGGCCAAAACCACUGGUAGGAAAGAACAACCCGGGAGGAGUUGUAGCAGCUGAUGGAGGAGUUGUGGUACCAUUAAAGGUGAAAUGACCAGAAGCAGAGGAGCUACUCGUUGCUCCACAUGCAGUGCAUCCAUGUGCUGGGGGAGAAAUAGUUGCGGUUUCAUGGGGUCUCUGAACACUCGAGUUAAAGGGAGGAACUGUUGUGGAGGAUGGUGAAAUAGAGCUCGGAAACUGGGAACGGAAAACAGUGGAAGGCGCAUUACGUUGAUCGAAAAUGCUAGAUGAAGGUGUUGUUCCACCAGGGAAGGCACGAAAAUCAACACCAGUUGUAGGAGUAAAUAUUGAUGGUGACACAGUUGGUGGUGGAGCAAAUGUUGAUGGCGACACAUUUAAUGGUGGAAAAGCAAAGUUUGGCCUUGAGCCUAUGGGAGAUGCAGAAGCAGCAGGAAACGACCCACCUGAACAUGAGAUUAGUCAAAAUUACAUAGAGAUAUAAAAGAGAAAAUGUUAUAUAUGUAUAAAAGAUUUAACUGAUGAGUUAGUUAGUUAGUUACCUUUGACUCCUUGCUUGUAAUCUUCCCACCUUAGUUCUUCAUGGCUUUUAUGUAGAUAAGGUUUGGAAGCAGAUAUGGAAAUAUAGAUUUCGCCUUUUCCUUUUUCAGUGGGGAAACUCCAACCAGAUGUGUUUUCUCCGUCAUGUGUAGGCGCAUAACCAGGAUUCCUACUACCUUGUUCAGUGGGGCGACUCCAUUCAUGAGAUGCAAAAGGAUAGGAUCCACUAUUGAGAUUGUUGCUAAAUGCAGGGGUUGAUGAAAAAGGCGAUCUUGGAAACACAGUAGCUCCAUUCAAACCAAAACGUUGAGGACCUGCACCGACUGAACCACCACCAAAAUUUGGUGGGUUUGAUCUAAAUAGGUUGGAGGAAGAUCCAGGCAGGUAACCAACACCAAAUCCAGGAAUACAACUGUUCAAUGGAGAUCCAGGCAAGGAACCAACACCAGUAGUCGAUGAGUUUUGUCCGAAAAGGUCGGAAGAGGAUGAUGCUGGCGUGGAACGAAAAACAGAGUUGAACAGCCAAGUACCAGUCGUCGGAGAUGCUGGGGCGCAACCAAAUAGGGGGGAUGUGAAAGUGCUAGAUGCACUAGCUUGGACAGGAGCUUGCUUUGGCCCAAAAGGUGAAGGAAAAAUCGCUGGAGUUGCACCAAAAACUUCUGUAGUAGUUGAGGAGGAAGCUACUGGCGAGCUACCAACAUCAGGUAUCGCAAAAGCAUUGUUCCCAAACAGUGAACCAGAAUUAUGCGCGUGCAUUGUCCCGCUUGUAGGUGGUGUAGGAGCAGCAAAUGUACUGAACCCGAAUUUGGGUGUUGAGGCAGGAGAUUGCGCUGGUCCAGAACUAACGGAUGUGAUGGCAGCAGGAGCGGAUCCGAAGCUGAAUAGCGAAGAACUGUGAAGUGGAGAUGAAGUUGAGGAUGUGGAAGUGGCAGACGCAUCGGAACCAGAGGUAGCUAGGAGAUCGCCAAAUAUAGGAGAUAGCGCUGGUCCCGAACUAACGGAUGUGAUGGCAUCAGGAGUGGAUCCGAAGCUGAAUGGUGAAGAACUUUGAACUGGAGACGAUGUUGAGGUUGAAACCGUAGCAGCAGAAUCAUGUCCAAGAGCUUGAACUGGAGAUGAUGUUGAGGUUGAAACCGUAGCAGCAGAAUCAUGUCCAAGAGCUUGGACUGGUCCCCAACUAACGGAUGUGAUGGCCGCAGGAGUGGAUCCGAAGCUGAAUGGUGAAGAACUUUGAACUGGAGAUGAUGUUGAGGUUGAAACUGUAGUGGCAGAAUCAUGUCCACAAGCUUGAACUAGUCCGGAACUAACCGGCACUGAAGUGAUGGAUGAGCCAAUCCUAUCUCUCGGUUCGGAUUCUUGAGUAUCGAGUAUGCCUGGAUUGCUACACUGGUAACAGUUGCUGCACUCUGGCUCAGAAAACUCAAUCUUCAUUCUUCUUUCAAUCUUUCAAACUGCUAACCACAAAAAAAAAGGACACAAAUUUGAUUAGCAUUAGAGGAUAACUUGCAGAAACUAAUUCGAAUUGCAGAAACUAAGUAACAGAAACCCUAAAUCCAGAUCGAUUAAGAAAGUAAUUUCCACUCAAAUUAACGAUUUUUAUACACCAGAAAGUAACGAUCUUUUAUUCACUACAUAACAGGAAUAAACGAGUGAUUGUCGACAGAGGAAACAGUAUGUGAAAGCGUGGAACAGAAGCAACACAAGAACCCUAACUACAAAGAGAAAACAUGAUCGAACCCAAAUCAAGCAAAACAAAGACAAAGAAGACCAAGAGAUACUGAUCGGUAUUCAAAAUUGUUGCAAGAAUCAAAAUUGCCCAAAAUCGUCAGAGUUUAAAGAAAAAUCCAACCUUUUUUUAUCAAGUAGGAAGCAGGGGAACGACCAAGUGACUGAAGGAGAAGCUUACGGAGACGACAACAACAAUGAUGCGGUUUCAGAAUCUGAUGAUGAAAUCAAAGUUAGGGUUUGUGUGAAGAAGAAGAAAAAGAAGAGAAAUUUGUGGUUUCAAUUUAUAGGAAACGAUUUCUUCAAUUUGCCUGCGUCGCUCUGACGCUUCCUCUAAGAUUGUUUUUUUCUUUCUUUUCUUCCUGUGGCGUUGUUUUAACGCCGGACGUUUAGGCAAUCUAAUGGAAAUCUCAAUCAAUAUAAAGAUCAAAUAAACUAGUAGAGAUAUAUAAUUUUUACUUCUUACAACAGACAAUUAUAUAUAUUUUUGAAAUUGAAAAAUUAAUAAGUACAUGACUUUACUUGACUUUAAAUCAAUUCUACUAAAAAUGAAAAAAAAAAAAAAAAAAAACUUAAUUUGCCCCCAAAAAAAAUUUAAUAAGAGAAAAAGUAUGUUUUGUCACACAAAACUUUAACCAAAACAAGACUUUAAUUGAAUUUAAAUUCAUUGUACAUAAAAGUAAUAUAUGAGACAUGCUUAAUUUUAAUAAAAAAUUUUUUUGGAGAUAUUAAAUAUUGUCAAAACAGGUCGGAAUCUGCAAACCAAACCCAAUCUAUCUCAUUAUGGAUUGAAAAUAGGCAAAAUAGUUUAGAUCAACAUCAAAAUACUUUAUUUCAAAGUUUCAACCAAUACUUCCACAUAACAAAAUGCUCUAAACGGAGCUAUGAUAAUGCAUCAAACAUCCAAGGCACGACCAUCCAGCAUGAAAGAAAUGCCCGAAUCUACAAGGGUAUCUACACAUGCUCUGCUAGAAGGCAUAUUCUGAAGUUUCAAGACAUACUCAAUUUGUGGUUUUGAGGCUCCUCUCUUUAAUAUAUUGGUAAGUUUGUAAGUUUAUUUUUGUUCUUGUAUCAUUCAUCCCGGUGUUCGUUGUUGUUGUGACACCUACUUUUCAGUAUCAUUCAUCCCGGUGUUCGUUGUUGUUGUGACACAUACUUUUCUAAUCUAUGUAAUCGUUAACAAAGUUUAUAAACCAUAAAGUUUAGCAAAAAAAGAAAUCUUUGAAAGAAAAGGGGAAAAUCACAUUUUUAACCCUCAAAAUGUAACUGGAAGCACUUUAAACCUUGAAAGAAUUCUACUAACACUACAAACCACCAAGAUUGUUUUAUUAACACUUUAAACCUUCAAACUAACUUUUCUGUUUGCAAAGCUAUAAAAAAUGAUGAAACAAUCAAUUUAUGUUUGUUUAAUAUAUAUUUAUUUAAUUUAAUUUAAAUUCUAAUUACUUUUAUUAUUUAUUGCAAUUAAUAAAAAUCUAUAAAAACAAGAAAAAAACUUUAUUUUCUUCGUUUACUCACUGUCCGACCAUGAAAUUUCUUGAUAAACUGUUGAAACAAUCUUUUAAACUGAUCCAUAAGCGUUUUCACUCUCUCCGCUGGAUAAAUAGGAAUCUCAUAAUAUCAAUUGAAUAAAAAGAUGGUCAACAUAUACAAUAAACUAAAUAAAAAUCUGAAAAAUUGUGGUCGGACGGUGAAUAGUCGAAGAUGAUGAUUUUUUUUUUACUUUUUUAUUUAUCAUCAAAAUUGUAAUAAAUAAUAAAAUUAAUUAAAAUUUAAAUUAAAUUAAAGAAAUAUAUAUUAAACAAACAUAAAUUGAUUGUUCCAUCAUUUUUUAUAGCUUUGCAAACAGAAAAACUAGUUUGGAAGUUUAAAGUGUUAGUAAAACAAUCUUGGUGGUUUAUAGUGUUAUUAGUAGAAUUCUUUCGAGGUUUAAAGUGCUACCCAGUUACACUUUGAGGGUUAAGAAUGUGAUUUUCCCGAAAGAAAAGUAUGAGUUUUGUAAUAUUUGCUGAAGAAUAAGAUAGAAACAAAUAUUUGUAAAAGAGUAGACUAAGAAAGGAAAUAGAAUUAGGGUCACAAUUAAGCCGGUAUAAAGAGAUUCCAUAAUCAAAAGAAGAAUAAAUAUAGUGGAAAAAGGAUAUUAAACAUUUUUUAAGUCAAAUAUCAAAAUAGCUAAAGUUAAAUUUCCUUUUAAUUAAACUCUCUCCCUAAACUUUGGUAUUAUAAAUGUACAUUGAGCAAUGGAAUAACACAUCACACACACAAAAAUUGUUCAAGUCUUUGUUUCUUUUCAAAGACUUAUAGCAGCAAGAAACAUGAAAAGCUCCUUCACGUUCACCAUCUUCUUCUUUGCUCUUCUCCUUACAUCAUCUUGUUAUCAUCUCUUUCUCAAAAAAAUUUGUAAGAUUUUGUGAAAAUAACUAAUAAUAUAAUUAUGUGUUUGGUGUAUAUAUAGGUGUGGUGAUGAGUGCUAGGAUGCAAGAAAGCAAAAACGGUAUAUUAUUGAAGCCUAUGACAUGCAAUACCAAUGCAGAUUGUGCUAAGUUUUGCAAAGGUCCAAUCCACAACUGCCUAUAUCAUACUUGUGCCUGUGUACCGGGAAAUCCUCAUUGUUGCUAGAAACACAUAAAGUUUCUAAAAUUCUUUUGCUUCUGAUUCAAUAUUUUAUUUGCAUUGGAUUUGGAUUAGUUUUCACACAAAAAUAAAAUAAAAUUAUGUUUCCUUGUUAGUCUACUUGAUUUUGUAAGUGCAUUCACAAGACGCAAAAUCGAUAUACACAACUAGACCGAACAACUUAAGCUGAUCAGCAGUAUUACAUAUGACAUUGGAACCAAGAAAGAUUAUAUAUUAGUUGAAAGAAACGACUUCUUUGAGUCAUUAGGAAGAAAGAAGAUCAACAAAUUAAACAUUUUUGAUGCUUAAGUUUUAAAUUUAUUAACACUCGCUGAUAUGUAUAAUCGCUAUACAUGCACAUAAGAGGAAGCUAGAGAUUACUAUGUGAUGUGUAUUACUUAUUAAACCUUUGAAACUGGAGAGAAUAAAGACAUUAGAUAGUCAUAAAUUUGACAGAAUUGUUUUUUUUUUUUUUCUUAAUCAAAACAAAGACUUAGUCCUACAAUUUGGAAGACAGAGUUUGAUGCAAAGAGUAAAGAAAUUACUGCAGACUCAUGGCGGCGAAUGGGAGAAGAAUGAAACCUUGUACAAGAUAGGCUUGAACUGCUGGAGAGUAAUGAAAUUACUGCAAACUCAUGGCGGCGAACGGGAGAAGAAUGAAACCUUGAACAGGAUAGGUUUGAAGUGCUGGAGUUGUGCCUUGAGCAGCAAGAGUUGUACCAAACAUCAUAGGACCAGAACUAGCGGUAGGAAAGAACAACCCGGGAGGAGUUGUAGCAGCUGAUGGAGGAGUUGUGGCACCAUUAAAAGUGAAGUGACCAGAAGCAGAGGAGCUACUUGUUGCUCCACACACUGUGCAUCCAAAUGCUGGGGAAGAAACAGCAGCUGUUUCAUGGGGUCUCUGAAUACAGGAGCUUUCGGCAGGAAAUGUAGUAGAGAACGAUGAAAAAGAACUCGGAAACUGGGAACCGAAACCAGUGAAAGGCGCAUUAGGUUGACCGAAACCACUAGGUGAAAAUGUUGUUGCACCACCAGUAGAAGCAGGGAAGAAACCAAAAGAAGGACCAUUAAAGUUUCCUUGCGUUGUACCAAAGUUUGUCCUCUGAUGAUGAUCAGGUACGCUUGGAGAAGCAAAUAUUGAUGGCGACACAGUUGAUGGUGAAAAAACAGCGUUGGGUCUUGAGCCUAUGGGAGAGGCAUGAGCAGCAGGAAACGACCCACCUGAACAAGAGAUUAGUCAAAAUCACAGAGAUAUAAACGAGAAAUUAAUGUAACAAGGAUUUAAAUUAUGAGUUAGUUACCUAUACCUCCUUUCUUGUAAUCUUCCCACCUUAAUUCUUCAGGGCUUUUGUCUAGAUAAGGGUUGGAAGCAGAUAUAUUUUGUCCAUCAUGCGAGCUCCGCAAGAGAGUAGUAGCUCCAUUGAAACCAAAAGGUUGAGGAGAUGAUGUUUUAACACCAGCAAAGGCUGAACCACCAACAGAGUAGUAACUUAGUGGAUGUUGCGCUGGCGCAAAAAGUGAAGAAACACUCGUUGCAGAUGUACCAAAAACUGAUGCAGUAGUCGAAGGGUUUGGUCCGAAAAGGUUAGAAGAUGAAGAUGCUGGCGAGGAACCAAAACCAGGUCUAGCAAAAGAACAUUCACACCUUGUAGGUGCUGGGGUGCUUGAAGCACAAACAGAAGUAUUCUUGGGAAAAUCUUGGGACGGCCCAUACAGUGAAGAAACACUCACUGGUGUUGUACCAAAAACUACUGUACUAGUAGAGGAGGAUGCUGGCAAGACACCAACAUCAGGUCUGGACCAGGCCCAUUCAACACCGCGCUCUGUAGAAUAAGAAUUAAGAGCCCAAGUCAUAUCUUGCGCUGGCCCAAACAGUGAAGAACCACGCGGUGGAGGUGGUGGCACGUAACCAAAUGGGAGGAAGCUAAUGGGUGUGGAAGUAGUAGACGCACCAGAACCAUAAGUAGCUUGUACAGGAGCUUGGAAGGCUGGUCCGGAACUAACGGAUGUGAUGACAGCAGGAGGGGAACCAAAGCUGAAUGGUGAAGAACUUUGAACUGGAGAUGAUGUUGAGGUUGAACCAAUAGCAGCAGAAUCAUGUCCAAGAGCUUGAACUGGUCCGGAACUAACCGGCACUGAAGUGAUGGAUUCUU
This 83177-nucleotide long non-coding RNA is filed under the name Arabidopsis lyrata. Its description in RNAcentral is "long non-coding RNA (ALYR_LNC002613)". Lineage: Eukaryota; Viridiplantae; Streptophyta; Magnoliopsida; Brassicales; Brassicaceae. The record is from RNAcentral.